This 62628-nucleotide long non-coding RNA is filed under the name Panicum hallii. Its description in RNAcentral is "long non-coding RNA (PHAL_LNC000035)". The record is from RNAcentral. Lineage: Eukaryota; Viridiplantae; Streptophyta; Magnoliopsida; Poales; Poaceae.
CUAGCUGCUGGAUCCACCCGACACCCAAUGAGUCAGCACUCAAAGACUUGAGGCGGAGCCUGCAAAUUAAAUAAACUAGCUGUCUAACUGUUUUUUUGAGAGGAUUAGCAGCAGUACUACUCUAACUCAAUUUUUUUUUUGUGUCUGUGGCAUUAUUCUGCUUUCCCGAUGGGCUCAAUAGCCAUAGAUUGAGGGUAAGAUGAUACUGUCAAAAUAAAUAGACGGGUAAUCUCUUCCCUCGCCUUAUCCCUUGCUACAGUACUUCGCGAGCGAAAAGGGGGCGACUGCGAGACGGACUUUCUCCGGCGCGAUUCCGCCGGCUCUUUCCUCUUCGGCGGCCGGUGCGGCGACGGUGAGGGGGGUCGCCUGGCGGAAUCGACGUCCGGCUGUGUAUAGGGUAGGUAGGGUGUAUCUACGUCUAGGGUUUGUUCGCCGUCGGCCAUGACGGCGGAGCUUAGGUUUCCGGCGAUGGUGGUGUUGCUAUCCCGGCGAUUAAAGAUCCUGCAGGACCUCUCCGACGGUGAUGGCGUCGGCGUUCCCCUCGGUGAGGUGGCUGCGAGUGGUUUUUGUCUUCUCUUCUUCGCCUCUUUUGGUCCGGGGGCUCUCUUCGUCGGCGUUGGCGUGGCUAGCGGCUUCGGAGGACCUCCAAUCCCCGGCGGCGAAGGUAUGAGAGUUCUGUUCUGUUCUCGUGCGAAGGGGAUGGAUCUUAUGCGCUCCCCCAGGAGCUGCUUUUUCCGGGCCGGUGGCUUCGGCGUCGGCGGUGGAACUCCUGUUGGGUUGUCGUUUCCAGGCGGAAAUGAGAGCGCCAGCUCCUGCUCUGGCUGGCCGGGUCUGCGGUGGCUGGAGGACUUGACUCCUCUUCGUUCGUUUUCGUUGGUAAGAUUGUCGAUUCUCGUUCAGCGACUGAAAUCCAUCUUGGAUGGAGCUCCGGGGUGGUGGGUUAUGCGACUCAACCAAGGCUUGGGAUCUUCUGGCGGAGGAACGGGAGUUCUGGACAUCGCCGGCGCUGCUUCUGCUCAGCAAGUUGGAGCUGUGGAUCUAUCUGUAAUUUCUCUUUUCUUUGGGGUCUUGUUUGUAAAAGGGGAUGUACUGUGCUCCAGUUUUCGCAAAAUAAAUAAAUAAAUAAACAGACAGGUGGCUACCAGGCUGCAAAUAGAAUUAAGUGACAGGCUAGACCAUUUUCACGUAUGUUUAUCUACUAAUCGGAUGGCUCCAAAGAUAUUUAUAGUUUCAUCGAUAGACCAAGUGUAAUUUGCAGCACACAAAGUCAUAUUACUGCCCCUCCUUACCUUCUCUUUGCUACCUCCCGUUCUAAAUUAUAGAUUAUUUUAAUUUUUCUAAAUUUUGCUAUAUAUCUAAAUAUAAUUUAUAUAAAUUUAUGGAAUAACUAUGUAGAAAAAUUAAAAUAAUCUAUAAUUUAGAACGAAGGGAACAAUAAUUAUGUGGAGCUAACAAAAUGACGUCUCUAGUGCAGUGAAGAAGGAAACAAGUGUAGAUAUAUAUGGUGAUGGAUUAGGAGAGAAACUAAGAAAUUGUUGUAUUGACAAGAUCGUGGAUUGCUCUCUUUCAAAAGUCCAAUCAGGUAUGGGAAAAGAUAUAUGAUGCUACAGUAAGUUGGAGGGGUAGUGUGAUCAUGAGACCAAGGUAGUGAGGACAUGCAUCAUCGGCUGGCUUAUAUAUUGAUGAGGACGACCAAUGGCAUGCGUGUAACAUCAUCCGUGCUUUUUUUGGACAAAUCUGUUAGACGUAUUUGUGUAUGACUUUGUAGCCAUGUUGUACUUGUCCAGAUCAUUAUAUACCUGCACAUGUUUUAUGAUCUCAUUGGUCAUAGCAAUUGUAUUCCUCCAAUUCAAUCUAGCAUGGUAUGAAAAUCCUUAACUUUGCAACUCAGACCCCUCUCCCCCCUCCCCUGUCAUUCUCCUGGCGACUCGGGGGGGGCGUCCGUCGCGCCGCCUCCCGGCCCCCCAGACCAUCUCCAGUGGCCGGCGGCGGCGGCGGCGACCUGCGGUCGAGGUGAAGCUAGCUCUGUCCGCCUCUUCUCCCCUCCCUUCUCUCUCCCUACGCCUCCACUCUUCUCUCUCCCUACGCCUCCACUCCCCCGACCUUCUUACCUAGUCGCGGAAGCUCCACCGCUGGCCGUUGGGGCGGAUCUGGCCUCCUCCUUGCCGGAUUCGGGGUCCGCCUGGCCGGAUCUGGAUGUCCCCGGCCGGUGUCGCCGCCCUGCCCACCCUCCCCCACUCUCUGGUCGGCCCUACUUCUCGUCGCGGGGGUGGGCUUCAGUGGCGCGGGAGGCUGUAGAGGCCGCGGCCAUGCCGGUGCUCGCGUUGCGGGUGGUUGCGACCUGUGCUGGCGCUCGCCCCGUAGGUGGCCGCGUUCCACGGCCUUGUUGUUGCCCUCAUCCCGCAGUGAGCCCGUGGGUGCGGGCCUGCGCCGUUCGCUGUUGCUCUCGCCCCGCGGUGGGGGCUGGAGGCUGCUUCGCCUCGGGUCACCAGGGGCUGUUGGUCUGCGGUGGCGCGGGGCGCGGCCAUGCCUACGCUCGCCCCGCGGGCGGCCUCGGGAAUGUAGUCAUGCUGCCUUGCUUGCCCAUCGUGGGCCUGUGGGUGUGAUGCCGCGCCGUUCGCCGUUGCUUUUGCCCUGCGGUGGGUCUGGAGGCUGCUUCGCCUCAGGUCAUCGGGCGCCGCCGGUCUGUGGUGGUGCGUUGGGGGCUGGGGCCGGCUUCGCCUUGGUGGCCGGCCUUCGGCGCGCCUGGGCGGUCUACUGCUGCCUCCGCUAGCCGCCCCUGCCACUGGCCCUUUCUUCGGCUAAUGGGAGGGAACGGGGUGACGGCGAAAGUCUUGGACCCGCUUGCAGGCCAAUGAUGGCAACGCCCUCGGGCGCCGUUUACCUUCUUGAAGGCGUCAUUCUUCCCCUUGUUCUCUUCUUUCCGGUAUGCUUUCCGGGUGAAAGCCUUGACCAUGUUGGUUGAACGAUGAUGGCGCUUGUGGUGUCGCCCCCUUGCUUGAGGCAUUGUUUUGGUCGAACGAUGACAGCGCCUGUGGUGUCGCCCCUCCCUUGAGGCGUUGUUUUGGAAGGUCUGCUGGUUGUCGAUGCUGUUGCUUGUGGCCUCUCUCGCUUGUCCUGGCGGUGGUCGUCUGCUCUUCACUUCUACGCCUGCCUUCGCUUUGUUUCAUCCACCAUGGUCCGGGGUGCAUAGGUUGUCGUCUAGGGGAUGCUUUGCCGCCGAUUCCUUGCUUGCUCUGGCGAAUGCUUUGCCGCCGCCGUCGCAUUGGUUGGUGAUCGCUUCAGGUGGAUGCUUGGCCGCCUUGGUUGUAAUGGUCGGUGGAUGCUUUGCCACCUUUAUUGUGUUAUAGACUUCUUGUAUCCUUGAUUAUGUUGUAUCUUUUAGCAGGCGUAGAGGUGUGGCCAUGUCUAGGUUCAUCGGUUUGUGUGUAUUCCCUCCCUAUUGUUCUUGCUGUUCUUGUUCGGUGUUGGGGUCGUCUGCCACUUGCUUGAUGGUGCUCUGUAAUUGCUCUAAUAACCUCUGCCUAUUAAGGUUUAUGAUGAUCGACCUGCUCAGUCACGUUCACGGAAAAAAAUCCUUGACUUUGCAACAUUCCUCCCUCUCCAUCUGACCAUCACGAAAUAAACGAUUAAGCAGGAGGAGCCCUUCCUUUAGAAGAUUCGAUACCGGGUCCAAGUGAUGUCUGAUGUUGCAAAUAAGCUUGGGACCUGUCUGGAAUCAGCAUAUUCUUCGGCAUGAAAAGCACAUAAAUUUAUGUUUGCUUGCCAAAAUAAAUUAUCCACGUAAAAGUCCGGAUGGAUUGCUUUGCCUCUGAUAUUGCAUUUCUGUCCUCCUCCUUCUAAAGCAAAGUCCAAAAUCUUAUCCAGUGUGUCACCCUGAAAAAGAUCUGCAAAUAAAGUUAUAGGUUCACUUUAUCAAAAACAAUGUUAUUUCUAUUUAGCCACACGGCCCAACAAACAUCACUUAACGUCUGUAAGUAUUAAAUUUUUUUCCUUCCAUCUAAUCCCCUGUAACCAAGUCUUAAACAAAUGAUGAAUGACAUUGUUAGGUUUUUUAAACCAAAGGUAGUAUGAAUUAUUCUCCAAAUUAAUCUACCCAUGUGACACUAAAAAAAGAUGUUGUAUAGUUUUAUUAUUACUACAUUAGUAAUAUUUCUCAUUCCCAUACCAGUUUCGUCAAGCUAGAUUAUCUUUAGUUAGAAUAACCUCUUGAUGAAGGAACCAUAGAAAGACUUUUACUUUUAAGGGGAGUUUUAGUUUCCACAAAAUUUGUUAAUUGGAAUGACUUCCUCCUUUAGGAUCUCUUUAUACAUCGACUGAAUAGAGAAGAUUCCAUUUUUUUUAGGAACCAUAAGAACAUGUCUGGUUGAUCCACAAGUUGAACACCUACUACCUUUGUUACCAACUCAUGCCAAUUCAUAAGAUUGUUUCCCCUUAGAGCCCUCCUCGAAGAAAUAUUAAGAGGAGCCGAAGACAUGACCUUUUUAACUGUAUCAUGCUUCCUAAUUACUAGAUUGUAAAGUGUUGGGUAUUGGUUUUUAAGACUAGUGUUUCCUAGCCAAUUGUCUUCCCAUGAUAUGAUUUGCUCCCUAUUUUGAAGUUUAAAUAUUCCGCAGCUAAGCAAAUUAUUUUUGACCUCCAUUAACCUAGACCAGAAAUAUGAAUCCCCUAUUUUUUUUCUGUACGUAUGCAAACGUUUUGGAGCCUACGUAUUUCCUUUGAAGAGUUUAUUGCCAGAUUUCAUCUUUAUUAAUAAGCUUGAAAAGCUAUUUACUUAAGAGACUUUUAUUCCACACUUCUAAAUCUAAAGUUCCUAGACCCCUUAAUCUCUCGAUCUACACACAAUAUUCAAUUUUGUUAAUUUAUAUUUUCUUUUGUGUUCAUCCCCUUGCCAAAAGAAUCUAGACCUGACAUAAUCUAAUUUUUUAAAAACUUCUUUGAGGAUUACUCUUUUUGGGGAUUACUCAGCGGACGCGUACCCAGCAGCCUCUGCGCUACAGCGAUUACUCUAUUCCGUCGACCGACCUGCUGGAUCCGAGACGAGACGAGACGGCGGCGAUCGGUGUCGGCCGGGGCGUCGCCGCGGCGCCGGGCAGCUCGCAUCUCGACGGCGAGAAAAGAUUCUACAGCUGGAAGCCUGGCCUGGUCCGUGUCAGUCUCUGUUCGUGCCGACGGAGGAACAGGCGCCAUCCACUGUUCUCUGCUCACGUUUGCUGAUGCGCCUCUGUGCUUACUGGAUGUCAGCCAACAAAAGUGCCGGAUAUAAUUAAUACGGAUUAUUGAUCCACAUUUAUAAAUAUGCGCACGCGACUCUAUCGAUGGUGUUGUUUUCUACAGAAAAAUAGCGCCGAUUAAUUUUUAAAAUAAAUACGGAAAAAAUAGUGCCAAGUCGAGAAUUCGAAUCCGGAUUGGCAGGUUCCACGUAAGAAAUCAUUCAUUAGUUUUCAAUCUUGUCAAUUUUUUUUCUCAGACUAGGUGGCAAUUCCAAAAUUUAGUUGAAAAGAUUGACAUAUAAGUUCAGUUUACCUAAACGCACAACUGAUAAAACAUUGAUCGAGUUGAAACAAUUCUAUUGGAUCGAAACUUUUGAAGUUUAGAAACUUAAUCGUUCUACUCUUCUCUUUUUGCGAGGAAAAUUGUUCUACACUUAGAUUUAUUAUUUAUGGGAAUAUUUCUUAGAGUGAAGUUGCUAAGGAGAAGGAACAAUGCAAAGAAAGAAAGAAUGAUUAUAAACGACUUUGCCCACACUAGUAAGGUGUUAAAAUUAUUUGAUGUGUCUUUUAAUAGGAGCCAGAGGAUAAAAUAGCCCCAUACGUCGCAACAUGCUAGGAAUCAGAUUCUCUAUGAUACAUUUGACUGAUGCCUCUCCUCAAAAUUCUAGCGAGAACAGCGCCACCAGAAUUUAAUUAGUUGUCUUUUCUCUAGUGAAAAUAAAGCAAAAGGUGGACUAGUCAAGGGAGCCAACGUUCGCCUAUAUUAAGGCAGGCACAGAUCAAAACUGCACAUGUGCUGGUCGUCUAAUUUGGUUGUGUCUUGUGUGUGUAGCUUAUUGUUUCCCUAUGGGUUGAACGGCCACACAGAUGAUCGCUACAUACUGUGAAAAUAAGUAGGGCGGUUGGCUGGAUGCAUAGAUGGGCUACAAAUACAAGGAAAAAAGGCAGGCCGCUAGAUCAUUGUCACAUAAUUUUAUCUAGUCGGAUGGCUCCAAAUUAAAGAGAUCUAUAGUUUUAUAAAAUAACAGGGUCAAACGUAAUUUGUAGCAUACUGGGGGGCUACCUUCCCAGCUUCCUCUCUCCUCUUCGCUAUUAGUUGUGGAGCUAAUAGUAGUGUCUCUAGUGACAACUGAGGAGACAAAUAAGCAUGCAUGGCGAGGAGCUCUCGCUCAUCACCAAAACCCUCGACUUUGCAGCAGCUGACGGUAUGAGUUCUUUUUUUUUUAAGGAAAGACGGUAUGAGCUCUCGCUCUCUCCAUCAGAGCAUCAUAAUUAAAGUAAAUGAUUGAGCAGGAGCAAGGUCCCAGUGUCUGGUGUUGCAAAGCUUCGGACCUGUUUGGAACGAACGCAGAAACUUGACAUAAAUGGUGAUUCAAUACAAAUACUGUUCCGGCAAGACUCACAAAAAAGUUAGUACCACUCUCCAAAUGGAAGCUGAAGCUGCAGCGCUGCUGUUGAAACUCAUGUUUGAACCAAUAUAUCCCAUCACCUCUUUCUUCUAUGUAGAAAUUUGUUACCUUAGAGGUAGUGGUCCAAAUGAUGCAAGCGUCGUCAAUUGCAAAAGCAGCAAAACCAAAAGAUUUCGAACGUUUCCAUGGUUGAUCCGGAUUUGCCGGUGGAAUCAGCAUAUUAAUUAUUCGGCAAAAUCCUUUGGAACUUAACAGCAAGUUGAAGUUUUCAUUUCGCACGCACUAGUUUAUUUGCAGAGACGCAUGAUAAGUGCGGUUCUUUAUCUUGACAAGCAAACACACCUAAAAAGCUUUGUCUUUACUGUCAACAGUGCGAAUUAGAUUUCUGAAAGAACUCUUACUGAUUCGUCUGACGACCAUAAAGAUUGUGGAUAUUGCUACCUACUUGGUCCCGCCACAGAACUGAAAAAACUCGACCAAACAAAUAACAUAUCAGUUCGGUUUCAAAAAAAGCAAAUAACGUAUCAAUUGACAAGUUGCAGUUAGGUACACGCACUUCUAUCGUGUGGAUUGACAUGGCUACUUCCACACGACGGUAGACAUUGUUGGAAUAUUUGGGUCCACAGGUGCAAAGGCCCACUAUGUAAAUCUAAAUAAUUUCAAAGCCCAUUAGUGCAAAGGUGCAUGGCAAUAAUUUAGUCCCACCUUGCUAGUGGAGGUGGAGGAAAUCCAACUUAAAUAGUUGGAUGUCUCCAUGCUCUUGCAAGUGUGGGUGAGAGGAAGAAGGAAAAACGCGCGCGCUCGCCUCGCCGGGCCGGGCUUCAGGCGAAGGGCGCGCGAUGUGCGCAUGAUCGGCUCAUCGGGUGACCCUCGGAACAUUCAACCCGUUUGAAGGGUCUAACCAUGCGGAUAUUAAGCUAAUCAAAGACCAACCAAGCAAGGUGCUACCCUCGCACAAACGAUUCAAAGACCAACCAAGCAAGGUGCUGCCCUUGCACCGGAGAUCAAGCACAAGGUUCACGGGUAACAAACGAUGCAUGAAUGCAGCAUAAAAGAGCCGAUGCUACCCUGUAAACGCUUACUUGCCAUCAACAACGCUUCAGCAUCGUUCUUCUUUUUCAAUAUCCCAGGAUACAUAUUUAUAGUCCGGAGACUUGCCUCUCCUAACUAAUCCUAACUGACUACGACACGAAUCCUGGCUAUCCCUAUCUCAACUAAUUUAAACGCACACACCUAUCUAGAUACACAGCCAAUCUUGGCCUUAAACCGCCCGCGUAGGAGCCGAUUCGCAAGCCUAUUACAAUUAUCCUUCAAGCCCUUGUUGCUCGCGGCCCACCUUUUGGCCUAGCCAAAUUAUGGCGAUAACACAUGCCCCUGGUUUCGGCAAUAAUGAUUCCAAAACCAUUCUUUUCCUUUUCAUCGCCUCGCCUAUUCGACUUCCAAAAAUCCGUACACGCGCGCCACUUCCAUUUCCACGGGAUGUGACUACUCUGCAUCUAACUCCUUGGAAUCCGUCACGGUGCCGAUUCAUAUGCCACUCCUGCCUUUAUAAGCUUGCUCCUGUUAGAUUUCUUUUUCACUCAUCUUCCUCCUUCAGCCAUUAGCAACCGCACUAAUACAACCUGCCUCCUCUCGCAAUGGCUUCUUCUUCUUCUUCUACUUCCUCCGUCAUUUCCUUCGAAUCUGAGUUCACUCGAGAAGCAACUCUAGAGUAUGACUCUAUCGCCACCUACGAGGCCUGCGCUCCUCUGCAUUGGGAUGCAGAGGAGUGGGACUUCCAGACUUGAUCAGAGGAUGAUGAACCCCUGACCGAUGGUGAAGAUCUCGAGCUCCUCCUCGGCGGGGAGCUUGAUGAAGACGACGAGGAAAACAUGUCCUGGGAGGGAGGCUUCUUCUCCUCGGAGGAAGAAGUCGAUACCUCAUCAACCGAAGAGGACUCGGUGGCAGGAGGCUUCCUGCUUGGCGGGUCGUCGGAGGACGACAAUGAUGAUGACGAUGAAGAGGCCGAAGACAGCAGCAGCUACAGCAGCGAUAGCGGCGGAGACGAUGGCGGUAGCGACGACGAUAGCAGCAGCGCCAACGCGACUCCUCCGAUCAAGCGCCACAAAGUCUCAGGCACCUACUGGUGGUAGAUCGUAGGAUCAAGCCAAUAGAUUGGCUCUAGGAGCAAUCGGCUCCCCCUUUUGUAAUAAUUUCCCCUUAUGAAUAAAGUCCUUUCAUUUUUAAUCUGUAACUCAUCAAGAAGUCGAUUUCCCAAGAGCCGAUGGCAAUGCGUCGGCCCUUCUCCUCAAAGUACCGAUCCGGAUCUGAGUUGAUCCCUUAAGCGAUUUUAUUCUCUGCUUAAAUCUGGAACCCUCCAAAAAGCAGAUCUACAUAGAUCCCCUGAAUCCAAGUUGCGUUCCAAAACCCUUGCCCACACAUCCGAUCGCAAAACCAGAUUAAGGCCCCCCGAGCACGAACCCGAGACUCGCAAAGCAAACCCUAGAUCCAUUCUCGAACCCUCGAUCACCAUUGGAGCUUCAGAUGGCGGAAUCCUCGAAUGCCGAUGCGGGCGUCCUCGGUCUGAAGGUAAAACUCUGACCUUUCUCCAGUUUAAUGAAGUAAUUAUUUGAACCCUUGGAGCAUUAAAUGAUCUUUUCCUGUUAUUUGGCUCUUAUCGAUUCUUCAGGUUUCAGAUAUUCUUUUGCCGCAUCCUUCUUCCCCCAAUUCUUUUUGUCUCGGGCCUCGUUCUUAUGAGCGUCUGAUAGAUCUGAUUUCUUGUGAGGCCAAUCGAAUCCCGUUCGUAAGACAAAACAUACACUUAGAUUCCUGGGCUGAAAGCCUACGUGCCUGGCCAAAUCCUCCCGAGGGCUGGGUAUCCUGGUACAAUAGAGUAGCCAAAACUACCAACGCAUAUGGGAAACUAUAGGAAUAGCUAACGCUCUAUCUCUGUCGCUGUCCCCCCUCGAGAAGAACGAGAAUCUUCUAAAAACGAUCGGCUAUUUCUGGUCUGAUGCCUUGAACUGCUUCUUAUUUGGCCAUGGGCCGAUGACUCCAACCCUUAUGGAUGUAGUGAUGAUCACGGGUUUGGACAUUGCAUCGCCCAGCCCCUCUGCCUUCAGACUGCCUGAGGUCCCCUUUAAAUUAUCCUCCAAAACAGAAUGCACAAACUGGGGUGCCUACUUGAACCAACACAUCAAAAUUAAAGGCCCUGUAAUUGAGAAAGAACAUACAGCCUUUCUGAAUCUUUGGUUGGAACACUUCUUAUCUGUGGUCCAUCCCCUUCCCCAACCAAAAACUAUCUCUCACAGCGUAUGAACUGGCUAGAGGUAGUAUUGUUGGCCUCGGUAAAUUACUCCUUGGGGAGGUCUAUAGAUAUCUUCACCUGAUGUCUUCGAGCCUGCUUACCCAAAAGAAACUCAGAACCGGUGGUCCCUGGUGGUUCAUCUAGUUAUGGGCUCACCUAUAUUUUCAGAACCACAUUCCAAACUUCCCUGUUCUGACCAAUAACUCUUUUCCAGAUCAAAAUGGGAGAUAGAUCAAGUGUACCAGCUUUGGCCAGACUUUGUAUAGUCUUCCUGGUAGCAAGCUGAAUCCCACAGACGCCUCAAGCUAGUUUAGGAUAUUCUACCGAGUCCUGGACAACCCAAUCUUCCUCCCUUAUACGGAUUCUGAGAUUUUUGAGAACCCAAUCACCUUCAGAUUGGCUGAUUUUGCCAAUGAUGACAGCACUCGGCACUUAUACUCUAUCAUAAUUCGCCCUUGCUUCCUUCCAGUUGGCAUGAGCACCUCUAACAGAAUCAUCAAGCCUGGUUAUGAAUUCUACCAGCCGAUCGUAGCAGCCCGGCAAUUUGGACUUGGGCAAGUUUCCCCCACUUCUUCCUUCACCAUCUGAUAAUAAGUAGAACUGACCUGCCCGACAUCCUCACCAGCCAGAGAUGCUACAGCUUGUUCUCUGAUCUUCACGUCCCAAUUCCCGUUGACUUGUCAUUUACUUCUUCGGCUAUUGAUUUCGAGAGUUGGUGGUCGAUGUGGAAGACUCACGUCUUUCAGAGAGCCUUGUGGCCAAUGCUGCAGCAAAUUAAUGCUGAAUAUGAAGCCCCUGAGGAAGAGGUAUUACCAUCAGUUCAGUACUUCUUCAUGACUCCGCUUGACCCCUUCUCUAAUUCCGUUUGUUUUCUCUGCAGCAGGAGGAUGGUCCGGAGCCCAAGAAUGAUGAUGGCUCCACUUUCACAUUCUUGCCAGUUGCCCCCGUGGUCCUCUUCGGAAAGAAUGCACCUCCCGCAUCAAAGGUCAUCAUGCAGAUCCAGCCUGAUUCUGCAAAAUCGGCGUCCAAGCGAAAGGGAGCUUCUGACAUUGCUGCCCCCCAAGCCCAAACUAAGGCGAGGAAGAUGACUGUCAGUAAGAUUCAGAAGGAAGCUAGACCAUCUUCAACCGAUCAAGAAGCUCCGAUUGUCAACCAGGUUUGGAUCGUCCCUUUUAUAAUUGAUCCACUGAACAUGUAUAUUUUGACUUAUUUUCUCUUUCCUUGCUUGCAGGCUGAUAUCGUAGAUAUUUCCAGCGGGGAAGAGCUAGCGCACCAAGAAGACCCAACUCCAGAGGCUCCAGUGGAUCCUUUGACGAUGGUCGACGCCUUAGUCAACCUUCAGGAUCCGAUCCUGAAGACUCUAGAGAACCUCGCAACGCCAGUCGACACUUUGAUCAGCCUUCAGGAUCUGCAGGAGCCGAUCGUCACCUCGUCGGCUGUCAGUCCUUCUCUACACGAGCCGACUGUCACCUCGUCAGCUAUCAGUCCUCCUCCAGAAAGGGUGCGUCUGCAGGAGCCGAUCGUCACUUCAUCAGCUAUCACUCCUUCUCCAGAACAGGUGUGUUUUGUCAUUGAGCUGUUUGUAUCUUCCUUUCCCUGUGCCGUACUAAUUUUCUAUCUUCUUUCAGGGUCUGAACCUCUCGGAGUUGCUUUCAUUUGACCCUGCAUCCAUCGGCUCGGCCAUACUCGAAGUGGAUGAUCACCAGCCUCAGCCGACUGGUGUUGCUAGCCAGCUCCUUCGCAUAAAGGGCCCGCUGUCAGCUCUGAUUGAUACCUUGGUCCGGGACUCUAACGCGGUGAGGCAAAUUCUCGAGGAGAUCAAGCCCUAACUCCCGGAGGUCCUUCAAAUCAAGCUCUGGCCAACCGGACACCUCCCUUUCUUUCGGGCAAAGGUAGAACAGGCUCGGCAAAGGAUUGAAGCCCAUCGCUCGCAAGCCCCCUUGAAAGCCGACAUUGCCGAGAGGUGCCGACUGCUCAAUGAGAAGAAGGCGGCUCUGGACACCAAAACUGACACUUCCGCGCACUCUUAGGGGCUUCAACUUCUGGAGAAGGAAUUAGAAGACCUCAAGGCCAAGGUCCGGGCGACUGAGCAGCGCAUCCAGGAAGAGAAGAACCUCAUUGCGAGCUCCAAACGAGAAGUAGAGGACCUGACUGCUCAACUGAAGACAGAACUCGCAGAGCUGAGCAUUUUGAGUCAGCAGGUAGUGUCAGGUGAGGACAAGGAUGAUGAAGCAGUGAUUACUGAAGCUGAUCGCGUCCGCCUUGAGGCUAUCGCAGCCAUUGACGAGUUCCUUCAGUAGGCUACCUUGUAAUCACCUCUUGUAGCCUGUUGUCUUUCAAAACCUGCAUGUAUCCAAAUUUAAAAUUCUAAAGUUGAUGGUUACAUAUUGGCUAUUUGACCAACUCAGUGCGUUGGGUACAAAAUAUGUUUUUUUAUAUAUAUGCGGGCUGACUGCACGUGCCGGCCCCCUUUCCUUGUGUCCAGCCUGAUGCGCAACAUCGGCUUUCAUUUGCACGGGCCAUCUGAACGCAUCGGCUCACAGCCUCAAGAAGCAACUCCAUACCCUUACGUACCGCUUCAUAUUCUGCUAGAUUGUUGGAACAAGCGGUAGGUAAUCUGAUUGAAAAAGAAUAUGUUGCCCCCGAGGCGACACAAGUAGGAUACCUACGCCACAUCCAUCUCCACAAGCCGAUCCGUUGAAGUACAUAGCCCAUGCACGCACGGAGAGUGCUGCUACGUCAGUAUUGAUCCUUUCUGCAAUAAGAUCUGCCAGCGCUUGCCCCUUGGCUGCCUUCGCGGGUUGGUAUUGAAUAUCGAACUCUGACAAUGCAAACAUCUACUUUCCGAGUCAGCCUUUCAACACAGGAGCCGAUAGCAUAUGCUUGAUAACAUCUGAUUUGCAGAUGACAAUCAUCUCGGCUGAUAGCAAGAUAUGACGAAGCUUUGUGCAGGUAAAGAACAAACAAAGGCAUAACUUUUCAAUGUCAGGGUAUCUGGUCUCCGCAUCUAGCAUCCUUCUGCUGAGGUAGAACACAACCCUCUCCUUGCCGUCAUGCACUUGUAUCACCACUGAAGUAAUGGAGGUAUCGCCUACUGAUAAAUAAACAUAGAAUGGCUUAUCCUGUUGGGGCGGAACUAACACGAGUGGUUUUGACAAAUAUUUUUUGAUCUCCUCAAAUGCCCGUUGUUGCUUUGCCCCCAGCGAAACUCAUCAUUGGCUUUAACCUUCAUCAGCUCCAUAAAAGGCUCAAUCCGCCUGGAGAGAUUGGAAAUAAACCUUCUGACAAAGUUGAUUUUGCCAAUGAGCUGCUGGAGUUCCUUCUUUGUAGUAGGUGGCACCAUCGUUUUUACAGCUUCUUGACUCUUUAGGCCGAUCUCAAUUCCUCUUUCAUGCACCAAGAAACCCAGGAACUGACCGGCCGAUACGCCGAAAGCGCACUUCUUCGGAUUCAUCUUGAGCCCGAACCUUCUAGUUCGUUCUAAAACUUGCCGUACGUCUCCUAAGUGCCCCUCAACUGACGCUGAUUUAACCAUGAUGUCAUCAUUAUAUAUCUCCACUAACUUGCCGAUCAGGUCGUGAAAGAUAUAAUUCAUGGCACGUUGAUAUGUGGCGCCGGCAUUUUUCAACCCGAAGGUCAUGACCACAUACUCGAAUAAUCCUACUACCCCGGGUACCCCGAACGCGGUCUUGUGUAUAUCCUCCGGAGCCAUGAAAAUCUGGUUAUAGCCGGCAUUGCCAUCCAUGAAACUCAAAAUCUUGUGACCAGCAGCUGCGUUGAUCAAUGUCUCCGUGACAGGCAUCGGGUAUUCAUCCUUCGGAGUAGCUCUGUUGAGGUCUCUGAAGUCCACGCAGACUCACCAUCGGCCAUCUUUCUUUUGCACAGGUACGACACUUGAAAUCCACUCGGCGUACCUGCACGACCUGAUGAAUCCUGCUUCUAGCAUUUUCUCCACCUCUUUCUUAACUUUCGCCAGAACUUCAGCCUUCAUUUGUCGCGCUCGCUGCUGAAACGGCUGAAAUCCCUUUUUGAGAGGGAGCUGAUGCUCGACAAUGCUCCUAUCCAACCCAGGCAUCUCCGUAUAAUCCUAGGCGAAACAAUCUGCGUAAUCUUUCAGCAAAGCUAUCAUCAGCUUCGUAGACACGGGCUUAACUUUUUGUUGAUAAAUGUUGGUCAUGGCUUAUCCCCAGGACCAAUGUCAACCUCCUCGAGCUUGUCAGCCGACGUAAAUCCGUAUCCUAGCUUUCCGUCAUCUAUCAAGUCAACGCUGCAAAUGGACAAAGAAUGUGACGAAAAGAGUUUCGGCCGAUCGUUAAGACCGGCCGCUUUAUAAUCUUCAUUAAUCCUCGAAACUUUAUAAUUGAUGUAUGGCCGGCUGCUAGAGCGGGGCCCCUUGUAACUGCUACAAUCAUGCAAAACAUUUGUCACAAAAAGUUUACAUUUUAUUUUUGCAUCAGCACGGCUCGCCCUUUCGUCUACUCUGUAUGGCCAGUGGAUAAGACCAGCCUCACUCCGUUUUUUGUAGCCUCCACACGAUCACAGCCUUCCAAACUGAUCCCUGAGAUCGGCUCUUGAUCUUCUGCGUCCCAGAUGCUCAUAGCUGCAUGUGAAAUCUCGAUCGAGUCAUCCGCAUGAACCACCUCUACUUCAUCUCCAUCCCACUGAAUAAGACAUUGGUGCUUCGUGGAAGGGAUGCAGCAGUUGGCGUGAAUCCAAUCCCUCCCAAGUAGGACGGUGUAUGUACUCUUGCUGUUGACGAUGAAGAAAGAGGUAGGGACAGUCUUGCUUCCCACGGUCAGAUCCACACUAAGGACGCCUUGAGCCUUUGACAUUUGGCCGUUGAAAUCACUCAACAUGACGUUGGUCUUGAUUAGAUCUCCAGUGGAUCACCCCAACCAACGCAGCACUGAGUAUGGUAUUAUAUUGACUGCCGCACCUGUGUCAACCAACAUCUUGUUGAUAGGCUGGCCGUUUAUGUAACCCUUGAGGUGCAAAGCUUUCAAAUGCUUGUAAUUCUUCGCUCGUGGCUUCUUGAAUAUGACUGGCCGCGGCCCCAAGUCAAGCUGGGCUACCGAUAAAGCUUCACGGUUUUGGGCGUGGAACUCUGCGGGGAGUACAAACACCAUAUGUGCAUCAGCCGAUGUCUUUGCAUCGACUCUUGUUGGCUUUGGAUGCCACUCUUUCUUAGGAGGGUGCGACUCUCUUUUUUGGGUGUAAUGAACUUUCUCCACCAAAUCCGAGGGUGCCUGUCUUAGCAUCUCAAGAUAUCUGGCCUCAGCUUCCUCGAGACUACGCAGCUGCUGCACCCUGCAUUUCUGGGAUCGAUUAAGUCCAUCAGGGCACCAGCACGGCUGAUGAUACUUAUCCUUCUCCUCUUCAAAGUCCACCCUUUUGCGCGGUGGCUGAAUUUUCUCAUGCUGGGGACACAGGUCCCAAACGUCGAAAAAACGAGACCCCUUCUGCAUCACGCUUCCGAGAUCUGCACUCCAGGCAAUCCUCGACAGUAGGCAAUCGGCUCAUGCCAGAAUCCCAAAAAUACUUGAAGAACGGGCAAUACCAAUGAUCACGCGUAUCUCCUCGCUUCUUCAAACUUUUCCCAGUACGGCGCUCAUACUCUUCCUCCUCCGACUCACGCUGGAGACGUUGCUGGUACUGGUAUUCAUACUUUUUGAGGAGAUCGGUGUGACAUUCAGGUACUUAGGAUUAAAACACACUAGAUUCUAGUAGGAAGUAUGUAUGUUUGAUCUUUUGUAUGUGUGCUAAAACUUUAAUGCAGAGGGAAAAGGAUCUUUUUAUAACUCUAGAAAAUUUAGGUCCUUUGGUGCAAAAUGGGUGAGAAUGGGAGGUAAAAUCAAAACAUAUGAAGGUUAUUUUGCAAAAAGUCAAGAACUUACUUUUAAACCGCAAAUAGAGGUGAAACUACCCAAAGGAUGCAAGUGUAGUGUAGAUUUUAAAAAGAAUUUCUUUAAAGUUUAAAACUUUGCCAAGUUUUAGGUUAAAUUCAAAUUCUUAACUCUUUUGAAACUGAAUCUUAAAUAAAAGUUGUAGAUCUUGUUAAACUCUACACUUUUGCUUUUGGGCAUAUUUCCAUUUGAGCUAUGGUUUGAAAGUUAACUUGGCUUUAUAGUGGAGUCCCUGCAUUUUUUGAAAAUCAUGGAUUAGUCACUGUUUUCAACCUCCAGCUCCCCCUGCUCUGCACUGCCCGCGCUCAUGAUCCUGCCGCCCUCGCCGACCGUUUCCCGAGCCCCAGCUGCCCCUGCGCCGCCUUCCUUCGUGCCACGUGCCGCUCCUGCACCCCGCCCGCUGCUUCCCACCCCGCGCUGGACCCCUCCCUGCUUCUCCACGUCGUGCCGCUGUUGCCCCGAGCUGCCACGCCCGCCGCCGGCUUGACAGCAGCAGCUCUCGCUUGCUGUGCCCUCUCCUCGACUUGAAGCACAUCCUGGAGCUCCCAGUGUACUCUCUCUUGCGUUCACGCACCCACAUUUGCACUGCCCUUCUUCUUCCCGAGCGCGCCGCCCCACCGGAGCUCCGCCGUAGCUCCUGCUCGUCAUCGACAGCCACCUCUGCCGCUUCCCACCCCCGAUCCAGUGCUCUAGCAGUGGUGCAACCCACUAAAGCUCACAGACCUGCCCAAUUUUGUUCUCUCACACUAGAUCGCCCGGACCACUAUGCCGGUGAGCUCGAGCUUCCGCCGCCACUCGGCCUCGCCGUCGUCCCGCCGCUCCGUCGCCUCUCAGCCCCGGACAAGCACACCACCAGCACCACAUCAUCGCGUGGAAGCUGUCUAGCCACUUCCCCGCCGCUCUCCUGCCCUCCGGCCACCGGAACGCCGUCGCCGUUCCUCGAAGCACCGCCGGCCGCCUCUGUUCGCCGUCAACCCGCCGCCUCGGCCCCUCUCUUCCCCAACACCGACCACCCUCGUGACCGCCGUGAGCCCCUGAACCUUUUCCCCCACUUGCCCCUCGCCGUCGGUGAGUCCCCUCACCGAAAUUUGAUCACCACCGAUCGGCAUCCCUGUGUAGCCCAGCCAAGGACCUGAUUGCAAAGAUUUAAAUCUUUCCAGGGGCCUUUCCGUAGGAAAUCAGUACCUCCCCUCUAAUUCAAAUCAGCCAACUUGUAAAAUCCAUAGGAAUUUGUAGAAAAUUCAAAAAUUACCAAACUAGUUUUGUUGUGUUCCAGAAGUUUAGCUCUACAACUUCUGUUACUAAAGUGCAGUAUGAAACAAAAUAUUUUUAGAGUUAUUUUAAGACUUAACAAAAGGGUAUCUUGAGCAUAACUUUUGCAUGCUAGCUCUAGUGUUUGUGAUUUGUGGUAUGUAGCCUGUUUAGGGUAUGAGUAAGCUUAUAUGCAAAUUUCAAGUACAGUACUGAACUCUAGUUUGAAUUAAAUUAAACUUAUGCAAAUCAAGCUUGAAAUGGUUUAAAUUCAUUCAACCAUGCUAUUAAGGUUUUUAUGCUUAGAUGUUUUUACCAUAUGAUGUUCUGUAGUUAAGUAGUUUAUAGUAAAAUUUUUAAGAUUUAUAGCACUAAUUUGCCUAAGGUUUAGAUUUAAACUUGAAGUUUGAACUUAAUUCAAAUACAUUAGUUUAUGAUUUUAUAAAAUUAUGAAAAAUUCAUAGUAAUCUCAUCCACUAGAAGUGAGCUUACCCACAAAAAUACAAGGCCAUAACCUUUAUGGAUUUCAAAAUAAAAAUCAUAGUUUUUAACUGAAUUCAAUUAAAUCAAUUAAUUUGAUAAUUGAAUCAAAGUACACAUAGUGGGUUUGAAUUCAAACUUCCUUCUUUAUGAAAAUAUGUUUAUCAAUUGCUUGGAUUGCAACUUUAUCAUGAAGUAAUAUUCUUAACUCAAGAACCAUCUAAUUCAAAUCAAUGCAUAUCAUGUAGAGUCAAAGACACUCGAUGAUGGAGACUACGAGUUAGUCCUGGAAAACGAGCAAGGAUUUUCUGAAGAUCCUGUGAACGUCGCCGAGGUUUUAACUGAAGCCCCGAUCCAAGGUUCGGAAGUUAUUGACAUCCCUGACCCCAACCCCACUCAAGAAGGCAAGCCCCAAUACUUAUACGGUUUAUCCUUAUAUAUAUAUCUAUAUUAUGCUUUAAGUCUAGGAGUUGAAAUGGAACCCUAGAUGCAUGAAUACUAGGAACCUAUGUAUUGUGCCUGAGUCCAUAUCGAAUAGAUGCUCUGCUAAUAGGGCCGGCAGAAGUUAGGUGAUUUCCUAUCACUCGCACGAUAUAGGAAUUGAAUGUUUAUUAUUCUGCAAUCACUAUAAGGAUGAUGGAUGGGGUCAUAUGCAGUAUCAUAACUUGAAAGGUUACCCUGUCUGUGUUGAUAAAAGUUGUUAAGGUCGCAGUGUGUAGUAGCUGUGGUUAAGCAUUUGAAAGUACUAGCCACAUGCCGUGAAAUAUGGAAAGCGGUAAGCUUAGUGACCAAUCGGCCCGAGGAGUGGACAUACCUCCCACCACUCGUAAUUUGGUUUUUCGUACAUGCACCGACGUGCGGGAAUACAUUCUGCACAGUGGUCAGGAGUACGGUCAUGUAGUCGCGCUACAGACGUAUGUCCUGCAUAUUGGAUGUGCGUAUGGUCCUACAGUCGCUAGUGGUGGCCCUGAUCCACGAGUCGGAAUGAAAGGCAAACGGUUGCUUCGGAACGAUCGUUGGAUGUUCCAAGCGUGUGAGUUAGGUUUAACCUUGUAAGGUUAUGAAAUUCGAUUCAGAAUCGUUCGUUUCUCGCGGAGCUUGAGACUGCUUAUUCCUUCUACCACAUAGAGUAAAAACGGAAACCAUUAUUGGAAUAAUCUUGAUGAAUGCUAAUAUCUACCUUGCUUGUCUAGUAUAGGUGCUUACUUAGAAUGGUUAACGCAACUAGAAUCUGAAAGCUAAAACAUGCAAGAUAGAUCAUACUCUUUGUUGCUUUUCAGCAAAAAGAAAGCCAAAGCCUCUCAAUCCUCCAUGGUCUAGUUAUGGGCUAAGUAUACGCGAUCUCGGUUAAGCCUUGCUGAGUAUUAGCAUACUCAGUCUUGCUAGUCUGCUUUUCAGGUAUGACCGGUGUGAACCAAACGAAUAGUCCAACUUGGCCGUUCUCUGUUCCGUUUGGCUGGUCCGUGGAGUGGGAUCCGUCCCCGGUUGGCAGUGACCCUCCGGAAUGACACCAGGUUUCGGGCUGAACGUGGUGUCAACUCUCACGACGUGUGUAGUCGCGUGUUAAUUUUCUUCCGCUGUUACUCUAGCACAAGCUUGUAUAGCUUGUGGCUUUAAACAAUGUUUGUAUAAGUUAACUUUAAAGCUUGAAACAGUCUGUAAUAAUGUUUAUUAUUCCUAUAAAUUAAAAGUUAGUGAGUUGUGGUGUGAUUGUAAACUCGCCUUCAUGCGAGGUAAACCUACUUCGAUCCUGUUGAACCGUGGUUGUAUCGGGCGGUGACCCGACAGACCAAUGGGUUGUUCCGUUUGAAGUGCGUUGAGUUAGGAUCACCUGUAUAGUGAUGACUAGCGCCCUUGAGCCAGAAUAAUUUAAGCGGUUCUGCCACAGCUGGUAUCAGAGCUGUAAGUUUAAUUUUACAAUGGGCAAUACACCGCAGUAGCUCUUAAAAAUGUUUUCGGGAUAAAAUUUACUUAACAAAAGAAUUUGCAAAGUACGUUGGACUCGUUAAGGUUGGUGUUUAGAUCGUAAAGCCCUAGGGAAUUAUAUGGGAAUUAUCAGGUGGCUACUAGUAUGUAUAUGUAUAUGGUUCAGCUCUAACUUGCAGCACUACCUUCUGUCAAAACUUACUUUCGAGCACAACCAACCCUAGAUAUCUAUUUGUAUUAUCCGUUCCUCAAUGUUGAGACAAGAAGGUAAGAAGAUAAGGAUCCUCAGCCAACUGAGAGAGAUUGGCCUUCCCGUCGGUGAUACGAACCGAAAGCUGUUUCUCAAGCAAUGUUUUACUUGAGAUGCUGCCAAUAUAUCAAUGAUUAUUUGAUUAUAUUAGGAGUAUAUAGUUUGGCACAGGGUAUGGUGAUCGCUGUUCAUACCCCCGUUUUAUACGGUACCCCCGUGAAUAUGUUGCAGAUGUAACGUAUGCUAACAUCGUCCGUACGGCAGAAAUUGUACGGAUACUGUUUCUAUAGUGAACAAUACUGUUUGGGGACGCUUUCAUGUCAUGCUGCCAUGAAAGGUUCAUGUUAUAUAAAUAUGGACUUCUGCAGGUACACUAACCAUGAUUAAGAGGUUAAGAUGGAUAGGACUUAUCGACUAGUUAUUAGAGAGAGACAUAUGUGUUAUGCCACCAGAAUUAACCACGUAAGUCUGAAGAUAUUCGGCAAUUAUUUUGGGUGUUGUACAUUGAAUGUGCAUAAUCCAUCAAUAAGCAAAGUGAGUACAUUGAAUGUGUUGUUCUUUUAAGGACAUAUUGGGUGUUGUCUAUCUCUAGUGUGAUUUCAGUAGGGAUUCUUGUGGUUGCCUUAGUUAAGUUUCGGUAUCCUUCAAAAUCUCACUAUUUGAAUUCUUGCUUCAGAUGGCGGCUCCUUCAAACGUCUUUUGGGAUCACGCAGGGCAUCUCUAUACCAAUGCCUUGCACUGGGAGGGUUUUCCCGUCUCUUAUGGGAAUCACUUAGGCUAUUUUUCUACACCGAGCCCCCACAGUAUGAUGGAGUGGAGUAUAGGGAAGAAGGUGUUCCUCAGUGCAGAGUUAAGAUGACUAUUCCUCAGCACCCUUUUCAUUCUCCGUGGCAGCCCAUCGAAGUCGAUGUGGUUGGCUAUCAUCUCGUCGACACCAUUGAGACCGCAGCUCUUGAGGCCAUCUACAUUUUCUGCAACCAGCAUCCCAUGGAAGUUGCAGUUCAUCCUAUCGGCCUAUUCCCUGCAAUAGAUUCCAAUGAUUCCGAGUGGAACUUCCGGAUAGCUCAUUAUGGUCAUAUGUUGGGAGAUUUAGCUGAAGAGACGCUCCGUGGUACCAUCAGGUUCUUGAAUGCUCAGCACCACUAUCAGAUUUUGCUGCGCCGUGGUAUGAGUCAGUUGACCAGUUGUUAUCGCCAUAAUCUGGACAGGCCGGAAGUGGGCCGUGGAGCAAGAUGGGUUUGGAGGAUAACUAUAAUGGGCUUGCGAAUCGGUCCCUGUGCGGAUGUUUUGGGCCCAGGGAGGCUGUGUUAAUAGUUUAGAUAUAGGUAGUUAAGAUUCGUGUCGUGUUUGGUUAGGGUUGGUUAAGAAAGACAAGUCUACGGACUGUAAAUAUGUAUCAUGAAUAAAGAAUAAAGACAGAAUCAUUCAUCAACAUCUCUCGGCGCAUCACCUCCCCUAUUCUAGGGUUUUCUCGGGUAAGUGCCGUGCGACCCUGAUCACGCAGAGUGUGAUCGGGGUAGCUUCAUUCUUGCUCUCUUAAUUUAUGUGCUUUUCGUUCUGAAGCAUUGUUGACGACGAGUAGCACUAGUUAUCUCAACACUCAUAGAGUAAUGUUAAGUUCUUCAUAUUUCGAUCAUGCUCUAUUUUGUUACUCAUGAGUGUUUAGUAGUCAUCGCGUCUGGUCUCGGGUGCGAUGGUUGCAUCUUGCUUUAUUCUUAUUAUUAGAUCCAAUCUGUUAUGAUUAGUUUCUAUUCAUCAGAGAUUUAGCUCAAUAUCUGCAUAAUUAGGCCUUAGCAAAUGAGUUGAAAGUUCCGGCGGUGUAAUUAGUGUCGGGUAGCAGCUUAAAAGGAGAUUGUUCUAGGAAUCGACCUUUUCGGUUGGUUUUUAGGCCUCUGUUUAGGUUGUUAUUUUGUUGCUUUUUAGUAUUCGUUAGGCUCAAUCACGCGUAAGAUGUUCCGAUUAUGCAGUGAGGGUUUUAAUCGUCAUAGGUUGGAUUAGAUUGAUAUUUAUGGAGCAGGAUUUAUGGCGUUAUCAAGCACGUAUAUCGUUUGCUUGUAGAGCCGACCCGGUAUUAAUGCAAUCGGCUCUUUACAGCCGAUACCGGGAAGGAAGCGAUGAGCCGAUCACGGCUCGGAUUAAUGUUUACUCGUGUCUUUGCAUGCAGGAAUUUAAUACAUCACACCUUCCUAAUCAGGUAUAGGAUCAGGUGGCACGCCUAGCGACUCUGAGGCCAGGGUGUGUGCCGGAUCUCUGGGCCGUUGACCGGGGGACCGGGGCCCACCAGCAGUCUCGGAAGCCUCCCGGCUCCUCGUGUUGCCUGUCAUUGCCUGCCGGCGGGUUUUGACCGACAACACCAGUAUAGCUCAAGGUCACUAUCGAAAUGCUGAUCGACAGGUCACUCAGAUAGAAGAGCUUCAAGCAUUGGUCACGGAGAAGGAAGAAAUUAUCGCAAAGCGAGAUGAGACCAUUAUCCAUCGGGAGGAUCAGAUCAAUGAGAGUGAUGCAAUAAUCACUCAACGUAACAUGAUUAUCGAGUUCCUCCAGGAGCAAAUCCACGACCUCAUUCUUGAGGUUGACGACGCCCAUGCUCACAUCGAUGAAGUUCAGUAGCAGCCAGUACCCCCUGCUAUACCCAUAGCACCUGAAGGCGAAGAAGAAGAACCAGAGGAAAUUGAGGGAGUUUCUGAUCUCGACUCCGAGCAUGGAAACCCAGAGCCUAACCCUCAGCCAGAUCACUCCUCUUCCGACAGCCAGUCCUCCGUAGGUGACCUCGACGAUUUUUAGUCCAUCUAAAUCAUCGAUCUUUCAGAUGUAACUAGUGUAGAAUGUUGUGACAUAGGUAGUGAGUAGUCUAUCCGGACCCAAGGCCAUUUGCUGUAAUAUAUUUAUGGCAUGUGUAUGUAUGGCUUGACCGUAGCAAUCGAACCACCUUGAUGUAAUAUAUCUAAGCUUGAGUCCUGUGGUUCAUAUCAAAAUCUUUGCCUUUUGAUUGAGUUGGUUAGACGGAAUAUGUAAUUUACAUAUCUGUUUAACGGCAGUAUAUCAUCUGAAAAUGGGAGCGAGAAUGUGUUGAUAAUAAUGGACAUCUCCUUUGUUUCAAAUGGUUGGAGCUACACGUGGAACCCCGGAAGGUUUCCGGGCAGACCAAGCUAGCGGUUCCCAACAACUGCCACCAGCCCCGCCAAAUUUGGUGGAAGUCAUGGCACGAUAGAUGGAACUUCUUAACCAGCUGGUACAGGCCCAGAUGAACCAGUCUCAUCACACAUCCCGAGGCCAUGAUGAACAUCCAUCGGCUGGUUACCAAGACUUGCUCAGCACUCAGCCCCCACUGUUCUAUAAAGCUGAUGAGCCCCUUGAUGCUGAUGCAUGGCUCCAUACUAUAGAGUCCAAGUUCGCAUUGUUAUUUGCACCAUGCUCAGACGCGAACAAGGCACUCUUCGCGGCUCAACAACUUCGCGGCACCGCCCGCAUAUAGUGGGACCAUUACUACGCCAUGCAGCCGGCUGGUCAUGUUGUUACAUGGGAUGAAUUCCGGACCACUUUCAGAGCGCACCACAUUCCAGAAGGACUCAUCGAGUGAAAGCUCAAUGAAUUCCUAACCUUGACCCAGGGAACCCGCACAGUCAUGCAAUAUGCACAGGUCUUCAAUCACCUGUGCCAGUACGCGGGUUAUCAUGCGGACACUGACGCCCGUAAAUGAGAUCGCUUCCGUUGAGGCCUAAACGCAAAGCUUAAGGAAUGGCUAAAUCUGGUAAAGGCCAACACUUUCAAUGAAUUGGUCAAUAUGGCCAUUACUCAAGAGGAAUGCAUCUCAGCCCACCGGGCUGAAAAGAAACGGAAGACACCCACGGGACCCUCAGCUGCGCAACCACCAAGGUAUUGGUUGGUCCAGAACACUGCUACCCGAGCCCCGCCCCGAAACAAUCUACCAGGCAGAUGGGUAGCCAGGCCACCCCAGCAGGCUCGAUUCAAUCGGCCACCGACACCCCAACUCCAGUAGCAACAGCCGCAAGGCCCGCGGCUGAGCUUUCCGCCGUCCAAUCAAGGAAACAACAACAAUCGUUGUUUCAAUUGCGGUAGCCCAUCCCAUUUCAUCAAGGAUUGCCCUCAACCCAGAAGAUCUUUCCAAGGGCAAACAUCAAGCCCAAACAACAAGGGCAAGGGCAAGAAGCAGAUGGUACAAGUCCACCAGGGGAGGGUGAACUUCACAACUCUCUCCGAACUCCCCGAGGGUGCGCCAAUAAUGACAGGUAGUUUCUCUAUAAACCAUCAACCCGUGAUUAUACUUUUUGAUUCUGGUGCAACCCAUAGUUUUAUCAGUUCAAAGUGUGGAACAAAAGUAGGCCUGGAUCUCUAUCCUACUAGAGGAUCCUAUAUGAUAGCAACUCCUGGCGGUAAAAUUUCAUCAAAUCAAAUCUAUAGAAAGGUGCCAAUUCAGUUGGGUAGCAAUCUGAUAAAAACAGAUUUACUGUUAUUGGACCUAGAAGGAAUGGAUGUCCUCCUAGGCAUGGAUUGGAUGACUAGGCAUCGAGUGUCACUAGAUAUCUCUUCCCGAGCUGUGGAGAUAGAUUCACCUGAACAUGACACUACUAUUCUCUAUCUUCCAUAACGGGAGUGCAAUAACUCUUGUGCCUAUGCUGUAGAAGGGAUCAAGUUAAAGGAUAUCCCUAUUGUUUGUGAAUACCCAGAUGUUUUUCCAGAUAAUUUACCUGGAAUGCCCCCGGAUAGGGAUAUUGAGUUUAUCAUAGAAUUACAACCCGGCACAGCCCCCAUCUCUAAGAGGCCCUAUCGUAUGCCACCCAAUGAGUUAGCAGAGUUAAAAAUCCAACUUCAGGACCUCCUUGAUAAGGAUUUCAUCCGUCCGAGUGCUUCACCAUGGGGUUGUCCAGCCCUAUUCAUGAAGAAAAAGGACAAUAGCUUAAGGCUAUGUGUAGAUUAUCGUCCCCUCAAUGCGGUGACCAUAAAAAACAAGUAUCCUCUGCCCCGCAUUGACAUUUUGUUCGAUCAGUUAGCCAGAGCCAAAGUAUUCUCUAAGAUUGACCUCCGCUCCGAAUAUCAUCAAAUCAAGAUCAGGUCGAGUCACAUUCCAAAAACAGCCUUUUCCACCAGAUAUGGACUAUAUGAGUAUCUAGUCAUGUCGUUUGGUCUUACCAAUGCCCUAGCAUAUUUCAUGUAUCUCAUGAACUCUAUCUUCAUGCAAGAACUCAACAAAUUCGUAGUGGUCUUCAUUGAUGACAUUCUGAUCUACUCUAAAAAUCCGGAAGAUCAUGCAAAACAUCUUCAUGUUGUUCUUCAACGAUUGAGAGACCACCACUUGUAUGACAAAUUCUCCAAAUGCGAAUUUUGGCUGGAUGCCGUUAAAUUUCUAGGACAUACUAUCUCCAGUGACGGUAUAUCCGUUGAUCCCAAUAAAGUCCAAGAAGUGCUAGACUAGAAACCUCCUACAUCAGUCCAUCAGAUCCGCAGUUUUCUUGGUCUAGCUGGCUAUUAUCAUCAUUUCAUUCCUGACUUCUCAAGAAUAGCCAAGCCCAUGACUGAACGACUAAAGAAAGGAGUUAAAUUCUCUUGGGAUCAGAAAUGUGAAGAUGCAUUUCACACCCUCAGAGCACAUCUUAGUACUGUCCCAGUUCUGGCUCAACCAGAUGUUUUAGAACCUUUUAACAUCUAUUGUGAUGCUUCGGGAAUCGGACUUGGUUGUGUGCUUAUGCAAGACAACCGAGUGAUUGCGUAUGCAUCACGAGCACUCAGGACUCAUGAACAGAACUAUCCUACUCAUGAUCUUGAACUCGCAGCUGUCAUCCAUGCACUUAAGAUUUGGAGACAUCAUCUGAUGGGUACAAAGUGCCAUAUCUAUACUAACCAUAAAAGCCUCAGUACAUUUUCGCGCAUGCAGAUUUAAAUAUGAGGCAAAGAUGCUGGCUAGAACUUAUCAAGGAUUAUGAUCUAGAAGUACACUAUCAUCCAGGCAAGGGCAACGUCGUUGCGGAUGCACUUAGCCGCAAGGCGCAUUGUUUUUGCUUAUCUGUUGAGGCUUUCAAUGAGACUCUUUGUUGGGAGAUGAGAAAGCUCAAUCUAGAGAUCAUUCCCCAAGGUAGCUUGAAGCAUCUCUCAGUUGAAGCUACGCUUAAGGAUAACAUCAUCCUGGCACAACAGCAUAAUAAAGAAAUCAGAAUCAUCAAGCAGAAGUUAGCACAAGGAGAAGGAAAGUACAAGUGCUUUUGAGUAGAUCACGAAGGGGUUCUAUGGUUCAACGAACAUAUCGUUGUACCCAAAGACCAUAAGCUUCGUAAGCAGAUAUUGGAGGAGGCCCAUUUAUCCAAAUUCUCUAUGCACCCUGGCAGUACCAAGAUGUACCAAGAUUUGAAACAAAAUUUUUGGUGGACUCGUAUGAAGCGAGAAAUUGCAAAGUAUAUCUCAGAGUGUGAUAUUUGCCAAAGAGUUAAGGCCAGUCAUUUAAGGACUGCUGGUAUUCUUCAACCUCUGCCUAUUCCUUCUUGGAAGUGGGAGGAUAUCAGCAUGGAUUUCAUCGUUGGCUUACCCAACACAUCCCAAAGGCAUCUCUAUUUGGGUAAUCGUUGAUCGAUUAACCAAAACUGCCCAUUUUCUUCCAGUGCAUACUACUUACAACGCCAAAAAGUAUGCUGAAAUCUAUUUAGAUCAAAUCGUUCGUCUCCAUGGAGUGUCUAUGACGAUCAUUUCUGAUCGUGGAGCACAAUUCAUCGCUCGGUUCUGAGAGCAACUUCAAUAUGCUCUUGGAACUAAGCUAAUCCGAAGCUCCGCAUACUAUCCUCAGACAGACGGGCAAACGGAAAGGAUAAAUCAGAUUCUAGAAGAUAUGCUUAGAGCCUGCGUACUUCAGUAUGAUAGGAAUUGGGACAAAUGCUUGUCGCUGGCAGAAUUUUCUUACAACAAUAGUUAUCAGACAAGUCUCAAGAUGGCCCCGUUCGAAGCAUUAUACGGUCGCUGAUGCCGAACUCCUUUGAGUUGGUCACAAACCGGCGAGCGUAAAAUCUUUGGACCCGACCUUGUCACUGAAGCAGAGGAAAAAGUGAAGACUAUUCAGAAUAAUCUAAAAGCAGCCCAAUCUCGACAGAAAAGCUACGCUAACAUCCGAAGGAGAUCAUUACAAUUCUAGGUUGGAAACUUCGUAUAUCUUCGAGUAUCUCCUACUCGAGGUAUUCAACGGUUUGGUAUAAAAGGGAAGCUUGCUCCUCGAUAUAUUGGACCCUUUGAAAUCAUCGAAGUUUGUGGACCUGUAGCUUAUCAUCUUCAACUUCCUCCUCAAUUAGCGGCCAUUCAUAAUAUCUUCUAUGUGUCUCAACUUAGGAAAUGUUUCAAAAUUCCUACCGAGAUCAUCGAUCCCCAAGCCAUUGAAAUCGAAUCUGAUCUAACCUAUACCGAACAUCUGAUCAGAGUGCUAGACACCAAAGAGAGAAGUACUAGAAGAGAGACCAUCAAGAUGUUCAAAAUUCAGUGGGAUCAUCACAUGGAAGAAGAAGCGACUUGGGAAAUCGAGUCAUAUCUUCAGCGAAACUUUCCAGAUUUCCUUCAAGCCAACUCCUAAAUCUGAUCGAUUAAUUCCAUCUUGUUCCGGAAUCUCGGGACGAGAUACUUUUUAGGGGGGAAGGCUGUGACAUUCAGGUACUUAGGAUUAAAACACACUAGAUUCUAGUAGGAAGUAUGUAUGUUUGAUCUUUUGUAUGUGUGCUAAAAAUUUAAUGCAGAGGGAAAAGGAUCUUUUUAUAAUUCUGGAAAAUUUAGGUCCUUUGGUGCAAAAUGGGUGAGAAUGGGCGGUAAAAUCAAAACAUAUGAAGGUUGUUUUGCAAAAAUCCAAGAACUUACUUUUAAACCGCAAAUAGAGGUGAAACUACCAAAGGAUGCAAGUGUAGUGUAGAUUCUAAAUAGGAUUUCUUUAAAGUUUAAAACUUUGCCAAGUUUUAGGUUAAAUUCAAAUCCUUAACUCUUUUGAAACUCAACCUUAAAGAGAAGUUGUAGAUCUUGUUAAACUCUACACUUUUGCUUUUGGGCAAAUUUCCAUUUGCGCUAUGGUUUGAAAGUUAACUAGGCUUUAUAUUGGAGUCCCUGCAUUUUUGGAAAAUCAUGGAUUAGUCCCUGUCUUCAACCUCCAGCUCCCCCUGCUCUGCUCUGCCCGCGCUCGUGAUCCCGCCGACCAUUUCCCGAGCCCCAGCUACCCCCGCGCCGCCUUCCUUCGCGCCACAUGCCGCUCCUGCACCCCGCCCGCCGCUUCCCACCCCGCGCUGGACCCCUCCCUGCUUCUCCACGUCGCGCCGCCGUCGCCCCGAGCUGCCACGCCUGCCGCCGGCUUGACAGCAGCCGCUCUCGCUCUCUGUGCCCUCUCCUUGACUUGAAGCACAUCCAAGAGCUCCCAGUGCACUCUCUCUUGCAUUCACGCACCCACAUUUGCACUGCCCUUCUUCUUUCCGAGCUCGCCGCCGCGCCGGAGCUCCGCCGUAGCUCCUGCUCAUCAUCGAUAGCUGCCUCCGCCGCUUCCCACCACCAAUCCAGUGCUCUAGCAGCACCGCCGCAACCCAUUGAAGCUCACAGAGCUGCCCAAUUUUGUUCUCUCACACUAGAUCGCCCGGACCACUACGCCGGUGAGCUCGAGCUUCCGCCGCCGCUCGGCCUCGCCGUCGUCCCGCCGCCUCGUCGCCUCUCAGCCCUGGACAAGCACACCACCAGCACCACAUCAUCGCGUGGAAGCUGUCUAGCCACUUCCCCGCCACCCUCCUGCCCUCCGGCCCCCGGAACGGUGUCGCCGUCCCUCCGAGCACCGCCGGCUGCCUCUGUUCGCCGUCAACCUGCCGCCUCGGCCCCUCUCUUCCCCAACACCGACCACCCUCGUGACCGCCGUGAGCCCCCUGAACCUUUUCCCCCACUUGCCCCUCGCCUCCUGUGGGCCCCCUCGCCAGAAUUUGAUCGCCAUCGAUCGGCAUCCCUGUGUGGCCCAGCCAAGGAUCCGAUUGCAAAGAUUUAAAUCUUUCCAGGGGCCUUUCCGUAGGAAAUCAGUACCUCCCCUCUAAUUCAAAUAAGCCAACUUGUAAAAUCCAUAGGAAUUUGUAGAAAAAUCCAAAAAUUACCAAACUAGUUUUGUUGUGUUCCAGAAGUUUAGCUCUACAACUUCUGUUACUAAAGUGCAUAUGAAACAAAAUAUUUCUAGAGUUAUUUUAAAACUUAACAAAAGGGUAUCUUGAGCAUAACUUUUGCAUGCUAGCUCUAGUGUUUGUGAUUUUUGGUAUGUAGCCUGUUUAGGGUAUGAGUAAGCUUGUGUGCAAAUUUCAAGUACAGUACUGAAAUCUAGUUUGAAUUAAAUUAAACUUAUGCAAAUCAAGCUUGAAAUGGUUUAAAUUCAUUCAAGCUUGCUACUGUAGUUGAGUAGUUCAUAGUAAAAUUUUCAAGAUUUAUAGCACUGAUUUGCCUAAGGUUUAGAUUUAAACUUGAAGUUUGAACUUAAUUCAAAUACAUUAGUUUAUGUUUUUAGAAAAUUAUAAAAAAUUUAUAGUAAUCUCAUCCACUAGAAGUGAGCUUACCCACAAAAAUACAAGGCCAUAGCCUUUAUGGAUUUCAAAAUAAAAAUCAAACUUGUUAACUUAAUUCAAUUAAAUCAAUUAAUUUGAUAAUUGAAUCAAAGUACACAUAGUGGGUUUGAAUUCAAACUUCCUUCUUUAUGAAAAUAUGUUUAUCAAUUGCUUGGAUUGCAACUUUAUCACGAAGUAAUAUUCUUAACUCAAGAACCAUCUAAUUCAAAUCAAUGCAUAUCAUGUAGAGUCAAAGACACUCGAUGACGGAGACUACGAGUUAGUCCUGGAAAACGAGCAAGGAUUUUCUGAAGAUCCUGCGAACGUCGCCGAGGUUAUAACUGUAGCCCCGAACCAAGGUUCGGAAGUUAUUGACAUCCCUGACCCCAACCCCACUCAAGAAGGCAAGUCCUGAUGCAUAACCCAGUAUUUGAAAUUACUACACUUAUACGGUUUUAUCCUUAUAUAUAUCUAUAUUAUGCAUUAAGUCUAGGAGUUGAAAUGGAACCCUAGAUGCAUGAAUACUAGGAACGUAUGUAUUGUGUCUGAGUCCAUAUCAAAUAGAUGCUCUGCUAAUAGGGCUGGCAGAAGUCGGGUGAUUUCCUGUCACUCGCGCGAUAUAGGAAUUGAAUGUUUAUUAUUCUGCAAUCACUAUAAGGAUGAUGGAUGGGGUCAUGUGUAGUAUCAUAACUUGAAAGGUUACCCCGUCUGUGUUGAUAAAAGUUGUUAAGGUCGCAGUGUGUGGUAGCUGUGGUUAAGCGUUUGAAAGUACUAGCCACAUGCCGUGAAAUAUGGAAAGCGGUAAGCCUAGUAACCAAUCGGCCCGAGGAGUGGACAUCCCACCACUCGUAAUUUGGUUUUUUCAUAGACGCACCAACGUGCGAGAAUACUUUUCGCACAGCAGACAGGAGUACGGUCAUGUAGUCGCGCUACAGACGUAUGUCCUACACAUUGGAUGUGCGUAUGGUCCUACAGUCGCUUGUGGUGGCCCUGAUCCACGAGUCGGAAUGAAAGGCAAACGGUUGCUUCGGAACGAUCGUUGGAUGUUCCAAGCGUGUGAGUUAGGUUCACCCUUGCAAGGUUAUGAAAUUCGAUUCAGAAUCGUCCGUUCCUCGUGGAGCUUGAGACUGCUUAUUCCUUCUGCCACAUAGAGUAAAAAGGGAAACCAUUGUUGGAAUAAUCUUGAUGAAUGCUAAUAUCUACCUUGCUUGUCUAGUAUAGGUGCUUACUUAGAAUGGUUAACGCAACUAGAAUCUGAAAGCUAAAACAUGCAAGAUAGAUGAUACUCUUUGUUGCUUUUCAGCAAAAAGAAUGCCAAAGCCUCUCAAUCCUCCAUGGUCUAGUUAUGGGCUAAGGAUACCCGAUCUCGGUUAAGCCUUGCUGAGUAUUAGCAUACUCAGUCUUGCUAGUCUGUUUUUCAGGUAUGGCCGGUGUGAACCAAAUGAAUAGACCAACUUGGCCGUUCUCUAUUCUGUUUGGCUGGUCCGUGGAGUGGGAUCCAUCCCGGCUGGCAAUGACCCUCCGGAAUGACACCAGGUUUCGGGCUGAACGUGGUGUCAACUCUCACGACGUGUGUAGUCGCGUGUUAAUUUGCUUCCGCUGUUACUCUGGCACAAGCUUGUAUAGCUUGUGGCUUUAAACAAUAUUUGUAUAAGCUAACUUUAAAGCUUGAAACAGUCUGUAAUAAUGUUUAUUAUUCCUGUAAAUUAAAAGUUAGUGAGUUGUGGUGUGAUUGUAAACUCGCCUUCAUGCGAGGUAAACCUACUUCCAUCCUGUUGAACCAUGGUUGUAUUGGGCGGUGACCCGACAGACCAAUGGGUUAUUCCGUUUGAACUGCGUUGAGUUAGGAUCGCCUGUAUAGCGAUGACUAGCGCGCUUGAGUCGGAAUAAUUCAGGCGGUUCUGCCACAAUCGGAAGAAGCCGGCCGCUAAUUCCUGACGUGACUUACUUGCUCUUCCGUGAUAUAUCUAUUUUCCCCUUUUUGGGACCGAUCACAGGGAUCGGCCUCUUCAUUCCUAGCAUGGCAAUGUGGCGCAGGCCUUGCCAUAUUAAUGCCAAGUGUGAAAUCUAAUUGUCGUCUCGCAGAUCGGUCAUAACCCUCUACCAUUAUAUACGCUUGGGAAAGGCUGGGUAUCAACCUUCAUGGUAUUUUGACCUAAGAUCAAUCGGCUUUGUUCAAUAGCCGAUUGGAUUUGCCGACGAAGUUCCUUGCAGUCGCUGGUGUUGUGCGUGAAGGAAUGAUGCCACUUGCAGUAUGACCUCCCUUGCAACUCCUGUGCUGUAGGAAACUUACAGCCUUCAGGUAACUUCAACUGUUUCUCCUUCAAUAAUAGAUCAAAUAUUUGCUCAACUUUGCUUACAUCAAAGUCAAAACCUUUUGCAGGUCCCUACUGCUUCACCCACUUGCAGGACACGGGAUUCGCCCCUGAGUCCACUCUACAACUGCUACUUCUUGGUCAUCCCCAGAAUCUUCAGUGUCUUCUGCGUCGAUCAAUGUUACUUGAUGCUUGAACCUGUCCUGGUACAGUUCUAGGUGGCGCUGCUCAUAUGAUGUUAACUUCUGCACCAAGUGCGCCAAAGAAUUGAACUCCAAUUGGAAGACUAGAUCCUUGAUCGGUUUUACUAAACCUAAGGAUGCCAACUCGACCGCCUCCUUUUCUGAAAUACGGGUCGAGUAGAAUCGGUUCUUGACCUCUCUGAAGUGCUGGAUAUAUUCUGCCACGGUUUCCCCUCGCUUCUACCGGACUUGUGCCAAAUUGGCAAUUCCGGCCUCCGCAACUUCCGAGUGGUAUUGAAUGUGAAACUGCUCCUCCAACUGCUUCUAGGUGCGGAUCGAGUCAGGGCCUAAUGAUGUGUACCAUCCAAAGGCUGGCCCUGUAAGAGAUUACGAGAAGAACCUUACUCGCAAGGGAUCCGACACUGGGAUCAUUCUUAACUGUGCCAAGUAUCGGCUCACAUGCUCGAUGGAGCUAGAUCCUUCUGCUCCACUGAACUUAGUGAACUCACAGAGCUGAUACUUAGGCGGUAGAGGAAUUAAAUCAUACUCACUGGGAUACGGCUUAGUGUAGCCGAUCGCCCGCCUCUUUGGUAGAAUGCCAAAUUGAUCCCUUAAGAUGGCUCUAAUUUAGUCUACCGUCUGCGCUCCUAGGGCCGAGUGCAUACUGUCAUGACUCGGCCCGGUGGCGUAAGCAGCUAGCCACGCUUGUUUAUCGGCAUCUGCUCCAGAAACUCCUCCAGCUGCCCUCUGCAUCGAAUGUACCGGGUUGUUGCUAUCCGGUAUAUAAGCACACAUAUACCCAUGUGGAAUCUCCUUGGGCGGCUCGCUGAAGAACUGGUGAUCCACAGGGUCACCUCCCACCUUGUAGACGAUGUAGGCUGAUGAGCUGUGUGAUUCUGGAGCCGCGAGCGCAUAAGGCAGCGGUGGCUUGGCUUGGAAUGGCAAUUCUCCUUUGUGACUACCCAGGAUAGGUCCCAUUGGAGAGUACUGAUGCUUCAUGAUUUCCUGGACCAUGCACAGCGUGUGUCACACCCGAUUUAUAAGAACAUAAAUCGAGCAAUCAUAUAUGCGCCAGGAUCAAGUCACGCAUAUAUACAACAGAUUAUCAAGAUAUCACAACACAUGUCACGAAUAACAUUAAUAUAAAUCGUAAAUAGAUCAUGAAUAAAUUGUUUCAUUACAACCGAAUCAAGAAUCGGUUCAAGAGUUGCGGAAGCGUAAAAGAGAUACAUGAAAAGCUGGGCGCCACAGGGACGUCGACUGGGAGACAAACGCCUAGAAGUCGUCGAAGCCGCUGACGUAGUCCUCCACGUUGCCGGGCACUGAGCAGCAGUCGAAGAUAGCCGAAAUGGAACAGAAGAAUAGAGAGACAAGUGUGAGUACAAACUCGUACUCAACAAGUAUAACACGAGCAUGAGGCUCUAAGGUUAGCUGACUCAACUGCAUUAGCUUUUAGUCUUGGCAAAUUUUAUUAAAACUAAUUACUACAAGUGGAUGAGUUACCAUAACCCGAAUUGCAUAAGAAUUAAUCAAUAUUAAUUAGGAACUACUGAGAACUAUCCAACCAAAACCACCCGGGGAAUCGCCCUCGUCAAAGGUUGAUAACCCCACUAAUCAGACGGAGGAUCUGGGCCGCUCAUGACUGUGAGCACAGCUGAUAUAUCAGUUUUACACUCUCGAGAGGUUGCACAACUUUACCCACAAGUCGUGAGCUACGCUAGUUGUUCAUCACACUUCCUUAGGUGAGAUGGCUAGCAAGCGCACUACGAGACCGUUACAAAGGAUCACGUUGGUAAGGUGUAACCGCUAAGGAUUCUGGAUCAGCGACGAUGGGGCCCACCUCCGGGGGUACAAGACACACAGCACAGACCAAGCCGGAGGAGCAGGGACCAUUGAAGCUUACCACCCCUCUUGCCCACGCAGGUAAGUUACUCCCGAACCAAAAUGACCUAAUUAGUAAGUCAAGACCGUCCCAUACCAGUCUUGUGGUUGCGCGGUUGUCCCAGGUUGUCGCUCUAUGAACCGGUCCUUAUGGAGAGUGGCCAACCAAGCACUAAGCACCGUGCUGGCCCCCUAAACCAUGUUUCUAGCAAAACACCUUUUAAGGACGCACAAACCACUCAAGCACACAGCACAGAGGGUCGGCUCCAGAAUUAAGUUGCAUAAGACCAUUAAUCAAAUUAAUUAAAAAGGACCAAGAUUUGUUAUAGCGCAGCAACCUAGCACAACUAACCAAAAUGCAACCCAAAGGAUAUAUAUAAGGAUAUAAAAGUGGCUAGGAAAUCCUUAUAGGUGUACAGAAUUAAAAUGCAGUAUGAAGUUGUAUUUAAAAGUGAUAGGAGAUUCAUGUUAUACUUGCCUUCCUCGUACUCUCCCGGCUGCUGCUCGAAGUGCUCGGAAGACGGCUGCUCCUGAUACUGCUCCAAAGGCUCCGCGUCUACUCACGAUCGUCAAACAUAGUCCACACAUACACACAUGCACAAACAAUAGCAAAAUAUAAGAAAACAGUACAACAUUACAUGGAAACAGUACAUGAAACUAGCCUAGAACUAAUCUACGCGUUACAACGAUCGCGUGCAUAUAAAGAACACUUAAAACGGAGCUAAAACGCGAAAACUGCGCUUAAAACAGGAUCCAGGGACCUAAUUGUAAGAAAAACAGGACUUCCAGGGCCUUCUGCACAAAAAACCGAGGACUAAAACCUAAUUAAACCCUAGAUACAGGGGCUAGCGCGUGAAAAGGCAUGGCUUGGACGGCGGGUUCAAAUUCCAGGAAACUCAGGGGGUCAAACGGAAAGAAAAGGACCUAUCUGCAAUUAUUUUUGACUCACGGGUGGACGGCGGGUUGAUUCCCCAAAAAGGCAGGGACUCUUUAGCAAAAGAGGCGGCUGAAACGGUAUGAUCUGUUCUGGGCCCUCGGAUCUGAUCUGUGCGGCUGGGAUUAGAUUCUUAAAGCGAAGGGGUACGCGAUGAUCUCAGCCUUUGGAUCGAGAUCGGACGGUCGGUAUUGGAUCUAGGUUUACUACUCGCGCUAUCCACCGGAUUUGAAUUGGACGGCCGAGAUUUAAAAUCCCGGCGAACCGGUACGCGCUGCUCGGGUCCCUCGGAUCUGAAUCGCACGGCUCAGAUCGAAGGGCUUCACGAUCUAAUCCUAUCCGUGAACGCCAGAUCGGACGGCCAGAGGGAACGGGGACUCCGGGGGCGGCGAUUUCUCGCCGGCGACCUCCCCCGUGGCGGUGCUUCACCGGAGUUUGCCAAUGUCGGGGCUCCGGGGGUUCUGGAUGGUCGGGAUCGUGCCGGGGAGAGAGGCUGGACCGCGGGGAAUUCGUCUAAGGGCUUGGGUCGGCUGAUUAGGGCUCGGGUAGGGGGUCUCCACGACGGGGGCGGCUCGGGCGGCGGUCACGCCGGCGGCGCUCGCGUUCCAGGUGUCACAGGUGGCUAAAGGCUGCCGCAGCUGGUGCAAAAGGACCAGAGCGCGAAGAGGGACUCACCGAGGGGGCUACGGUGCCCGGAGUGUGGCGGAGGAGGUGCAACGACGGCGACUGGCGGCAGCAGGACGACGGCGCUCGCGGGGAACGGUACUGCAGGCGUGGCCAGGGCCCUUAGCUGAGGUAGAUCGGCUCCAGGUAGUCCUGUGGAGAUGGCAGGGGGGUCAAAGGGGCGUGAGGAUCGCCGGCGGCGAGCAAUUGCGGAGGCGGCCGAACUUACCCGCGGCGGAGGGGAAAGAGACCGGUGGCGCUAGGGUUCUGGGUGGCGGCUAGGGCUUUAGGGUUGGGCGGCCCUUUGUAGGUGGCGCGGCGGUCCCACUGGCUCUUGGGCCCGGGAAGAGAGAGUCACCGGCGAGAUCGGAGUUCGUUGGGCGCCGGGAAACAGAGGACGGGGAGGAGAAAAGGAGGUGGGAGACGACGCUGACGUGCGGGGCCCGGCUGACAGAGGGAGAGGGCGAGCGGGGAUGGGCGAGCGCGCUCGGGCUGAGGGAAACGCGGCGCCGACAUGCGGGCCCGAGCGAUCAGUCAGAGAGAGGAGGAAAGGGGCCGGCGCUGAGGGGAAUUGGGCCGGGACUCGGCCCACGCGGGAAGAAAAGGAAAGGGGGAGAGAGAGAGCCCGCGGGUGAGGGAGAGGAGAGGGAAAAGGGGAAUUGGGCUGGGCCAAGGGUUUGGGGUUGGGCUGCGGGCUGCUUUCUUUCAUUCCUUUUUCUUUUCUAUACUCUACCCAUUCAAACAAAACCAUUUGAAUUCAAAUACCAUUUGAAUUCAAAUCUACACACUCAACACAAUUAAAACAAUGCUGUGGCAUGAAUGCACAAACACUUUAAUCCUAUGAUAAAUUUUAUUUUCUUGCGUUAUAAAAUAACUUUAAAUACGAGAUAAACUAGAGAAACCCUGGAAAAUCUAUUCGAGCCCAAAUAAAUUAAUUAAAAAUUUGAGGAAAUUACCUGAGGGUGUUACAAACCUACCCCCCUUACAGGAAUCUCGUCCCGAGAUUCGGAUAGGCUAGCUAGCAAAGAGGUCGGGAUAUGUCUUCCUCAGCUCGUCUUCUCGCUCCCAAGUAGCCUCAUCCUCCGUGUGAUGACUCCACUGAACACGGCACAUCUUGAUCUUCUUGUUUCUAGUAACCCUCUCAGAUGUCUCCAGAAUCUUCACCGGAUGCUCAACAUAGGUCAGAUCCUCCUGCACAUCCAACCCUUCUAUCGGUGCUUGCUCUUCUGGCACUCUCAAGCACUUCUUCAGCUGAGACACGUGAAACACAUCGUGUACUCCUGAGAGAUUGAGUGGCAACUCCAGACGAUACGCCACCUCGCCUUUCCGUUCCAACACCUUGAACGGACCAAUGUACCGAGGAGCUAGCUUCCCUCGUACAUUAAAUCUGCGAAUUCCUCUCAUCGGCGAGACCUUCAGAUAUACAUGAUCACCCACUGCGAAGGUCAAAUCUCGACGACGAACAUCCGCAUAACUCUUCUGACGAGUCUGAGCAACCCUCAGAUUCUCUCGCACCUGCUGUACCAACUGUUCGGCCUCCUCAACAAUAUCCGGACCAAACACCUGCCUCUCACCAAUCUGAUCCCAAUACAGCGGAGUCCUGCAUUUUCGACCAUACAGAGCCUCAAACGGGGACUUCUUCAGACUGGCUUGAUAGCUGUUGUUAUAAGAAAACUCUGCAUACGGCAGGCAUUUAUCCCAGCUGGUACCAUACUGAAUAGCGCAGGCUCGAAGCAUAUCCUCCAACACUUGGUUGGUUCUCUCUGUCUGUCCAUCUGUCUGAGGAUGAUAAGCAGUACUGAAGCGCAGCUUCGUAUCCAACGAAUCAUGCAACUGCUCCCAGAACCGUGAAGUAAACUGAGAUCCUCGAUCAGAUAUAAUCUUCUUAGGAACACCAUGCAGACAGACAAUCCUGGAGAUGUACAACUCUGCGAGUCUAGCACCGGAAUAAGUAGUGUUCACCGGAAUAAAAUGAGCCACCUUCGUCAACCGGUCCACUACUACCCAUAUGGAGUUGUACCCCUUCUGAGUACGAGGCAAGCCAACAAUGAAGUCCAUAGUGAUUUCCUCCCAUUUCCACUCUGGAAUCUUCAACGGCUGCAAUAACCCUGCUGGCCUCUGAUGCUCUGCCUUGACACGCUGACAAGUGUCACAGAUAGCCACGUACUCCGUAACGGAACGCUUCAUUCCAGACCACCAGAACCGUUCCUUCAGGUCGUAAUACAUCUUCGUGCUGCCUGGAUGGAUAGAAUAUGCGGUAUCAUGAGCCUCACUCAGAAUCAACUUCCUGAGAUCUGCCACAUCCGGCACACAUAUACGACCCUUGUACCACAAGGUACCCUGAUCAUCCUCUCUGAAAUGAGGGGCUUUGCCAAUCUUGAGCAACUCACGAAUCUCCUGCAGCUUCUGAUCUUCCUUCUGAUACUGCCUGAUCUCAGCCUCUAGGGUGGGUUCCGCCUCGAAUGAUGUACCCGAGGUAUGAUGCAAGAAACCCAGACUCAACUGCUCAAACUCCUCGCAUAACUCCUGAGGCAUCUGAAAAGCCACGGCCAUGUUAACAUAGCUCUUCCUGCUCAGAGCAUCUGCUACAACAUUAGCCUUGCCCGGAUGAUAGUGAAUCUCCAGGUCAUAAUCCUUGACCAACUCUAGCCAUCUUCUCUGUCGCAUGUUCAGCUCACUCUGAGUGAAAAUAUACUUGAGGCUCUUGUGAUCGGUGUAAAUAUCACACCUCUGCCCAAACAAGUAAUGCCUCCAUAUCUUCAGAGCAUGCACAACUGCGGCUAACUCCAGAUCAUGAGUGGGAUAAUUCAGCUCGUGCCGGCGCAACUGCCGUGAUGCAUAAGCUAUCACUCUGCCCUCCUGCAUCAGGACGCAACCAAGACCAUCCCUCGAAGCAUCACAAUACACUGUGAACCUCUUGCUCUGGUCUGGCAGCGUAAGGACUGGCGCCGUAGUCAACCUCUUCUUCAGCUCCUCGAAGGCCUUCUGACGCUCAUCAGUCCAAGAAAAACCCACGUCCUUCUCUAGCAAGGAAGUCAAAGGCUUCGCAAUUUUGGAGAAAUUCUCAAUGAACCUCCGGUAAUAACCUGCUAAGCCCAGAAAAGAGCGGACUUCCUUCACCGUCUGCGGUACAACCCAGUCAAGCACAUCCUUAACCUUUCCGGGGUCCACAGCAAUACCCCCUUGGAGAUAACAUGACCGAGGAACGGAACCUCGUCAAUCCAAAACUCGCACUUGCUGAGCUUGGCAUACAGCUUGUGCUCUCUGAGCCUCUGCAACACAAGCCUCAGAUGCUUCUCAUGCUCCGCUUCUGACUUGGAAUAUAUCAGGAUAUCAUCAAUAAAUAUCACCACAAAGGUGUCCAGAUAAUCCAUGAAAACCUUGUUCAUCAGAUGCAUGAAGAAAGCCGGAGCAUUAGUCAAUCCGAAGGACAUGACCGUAUACUCGUAUAACCCAUACUUGCAGGUGAAUGCCGUCUUCUGAAUAUCCUCAGGACGAAUCUUCAGCUGAUGAUAACCCGAACGCAGAUCAAUCUUCGAGAAUACACAAGCUCCCUGAAGCUGAUCAAAGAGAUCCUCAAUACGGGGCAAUGGAUGCUUGUUCUUGAUAGUGACUGCAUUCAGAUCCCGGUAAUCGACGCACAUUCUCUUCGCGCCAUCCUUCUUCUCUACAAGCAAUACAGGAAAAGCCCAAGGAGAGAAACUGCGACGGAUAUAACCCUUAGCUAGCAACUCGUCGACAGUCUUCUUAACCUCCUCAUGCUCGACGGGAGCCAUACGAUAGGGCCUCUUAGCAAUAGGAGCUGUGCCAGGCAAGAGAUCAAUAGAAAACUCAAUGUCGCGAUCAGGCGGCAUACCUGGCAAAUCAUCCGGAAAGACAUCCGGGAAUUCAGACACCACGCGAAUACCAUCCGUGGGUCUAGCCUCCAUCUGAUGAAGAAAUCCAGAAGGCUCCGUAGCUCCAACAGUGACCUCCUGACCAUCCGGUGCUGACAGAAGAACCGUCCUCUGAGCACAAUCUAUCCGGACUCCCCACUUAGCAAGAGUCUCCAUCCCAAGGAUCACAUCAAUGCCCUUGGAGUCUAGCACCAUCAGAUUCGCACUGAAAUCUACCCCCCUUAUGGCCACACUGACUCUGGGGCAGAAGACAUGAGACCUCAACUGCCCUCCCGGUGAAGACACUAUCAUGCACCUCUUUAAUGUGCUAGUAGGAAUACCAUGAUGCUCAACAAAAGACUGGGUGAUGAAAGAAUGUGUAGCACCAGUAUCAAAAAGCACUGUAGCAGGAUGGGCAUUAACCAUGAACGUACCAAUAACCACGUUGGGAGCCUCGGCCGCUGACUCGGCCGUCACGUGGUUUACCCUGCCCUGAGCUGGGGCCUUGGGCGGUGCUGCACGGCCCUGCUGUCCUGACUGCGCCUUCCGAGGGCAGACGUUGGCGUAGUGCCCUGGCUCGCCGCAGUGGAAGCACACUCGAGGAAGUGCCGGAGCCUGCUGCCCAGGAGGAGGAGUGGGCGCUCCCUGCCUCUGAGCUGGUGGAACCGGAGGCGCCGGAAGCCUCUAACCCUGUCCCGCCUGCUGCUGCUGCUGAGGACGAGGCGGAAACUGCUGCCGCUGCUGGUAUUGCUGGGGCGGCCUCUGCUGCUGCUGCUGCGGAGGGUACUGGUAGCGGGGACGGGUGUUGCUGCCCGAAGAGGAUGGAGCCAUCUUCCUCUUCUUAUCCUCAAUCUCCCGGCGCUUGCGCUCGGUGUUGAGGGCCGCAUCAACCAGCUGGUUGAAGUUGUCGAAGCGGUGGUUCAGCAGCGCAUACUGGAUGUGAUCAUCCAGUCCCUCCUUGAAGUACUCCUGCUUGUCGCUAUCACGAGCGACGUCAGCAGGGGCGUAGCGGGCAAGCUGAAGAAAACGGUCACGAUACUCCGUCACCGUCAUAGAUCCCUGAAAUAACGAACAUGGAUGACAAGGAUGGAAAUCGCUCAAUUGGUCAGAUUUUACGAAAGAAAUCAAGGACAGAUCAAGCUCAAAAGAAUUUGGUAAGGAAUUUCCGUUAAAUUUUACCUGCUUGAGGGCACGGAACUCCUUCUGCUUCAUCUUCAUGAUGCCCUCAGGAAUGUGAUGGUUCCUGAAACGCUCACGGAACUGGUCCCACGUGAGAGCCUCACGAUCCCGAGCUGGGUAGGACUCCCACCAGUCAAGAGCGGAGCCUCGCAGCUGCCCGGCUGCGUAAAGGACUCGCUCACGGUCGUCGCACUGCGCAACAACCAACUGGCGCUCCACCGAACGAAGCCAGUCGUCCGCCUGGAGUGGGUCCGUGGCGUGAGAGAAGGUCGGAGGAUGACCUCUCAGGAAGUCCGCACGCCGAUCACGAGGCUGAGGUGGCGGAGGAGGCGGCGGCUGGGCAUGGAUCUGCUGCAGAGCCUGAACGGUGUUGUUCAGGGUAGCCAUCAUCUGCAUCUGGAGCUGGAAGAACUGCUCCGGGGUCAGUGGUGGCGGCAUCGGUAGCGGCUGACCGGUACUCUGGUUGUUCUGCUCCUGCUGGUCAGAACCGGAACCGGUGCGCCUGGUGUUCACCAUCUGAUGGCAACAAACGAAAUUUAUGAGAAUAAGCUAUGGUGCCGCUGAGGAGAUGAAACUUCGAUAGGAUAUAACAGGGAAAAAGGAUUAUAGGUUUUACCCCCAACGAUCUAGCUCAAUUUUUUUAUUAUUUAGUCCAAGUUGGGUUAGGUCGAUUUGCAUGAACAAGUUUAACUACUAGCCUAUGCAAUCAACCAAAAAUCCAAAUCAAACAUUUGCACAAUAACAAACAUUCAAUAUUCACAAAUUAGUCGAGUUUUCCACACUACUCGACCAACACACUCGUUCUAGCGUAUUUUUAUCGGGACAACUUAAACUUAUAACUUACAAGAUUAGGCAACUCAGGCCAACGUCUAUGGAAAGUUCAAGCUGUUUCUCAGAAAAGACAGGAGAAAUAGCAAAUCAAGGGUUUAAGACUCAAGGAAUAGAAGCAGAAACGUGAUGGUUGAGGAUUUGCGGAGGCAAGCAAAAGAAAAGAAGUCCUAAACUCGACCAAUUCUACCUAGGCUUCGUCCUACAGUCAACACGGCUCUGAUACCAAUCUGUCACACCCGAUUUAUAAGAACAUAAAUCGAGCAAUCAUAUAUGCGCCAGGAUCAAGUCACGCAUAUAUACAACAGAUUAUCAAGAUAUCACAACACAUGUCACGAAUAACAUUAAUAUAAAUCGUAAAUAGAUCAUGAAUAAAUUGUUUCAUUACAACCGAAUCAAGAAUCGGUUCAAGAGUUGCGGAAGCGUAAAAGAGAUACAUGAAAAGCUGGGCGCCACAGGGACGUCGACUGGGAGACAAACGCCUAGAAGUCGUCGAAGCCGCUGACGUAGUCCUCCACGUUGCCGGGCACUGAGCAGCAGUCGAAGAUAGCCGAAAUGGAACAGAAGAAUAGAGAGACAAGUGUGAGUACAAACUCGUACUCAACAAGUAUAACACGAGCAUGAGGCUCUAAGGUUAGCUGACUCAACUGCAUUAGCUUUUAGUCUUGGCAAAUUUUAUUAAAACUAAUUACUACAAGUGGAUGAGUUACCAUAACCCGAAUUGCAUAAGAAUUAAUCAAUAUUAAUUAGGAACUACUGAGAACUAUCCAACCAAAACCACCCGGGGAAUCGCCCUCGUCAAAGGUUGAUAACCCCACUAAUCAGACGGAGGAUCUGGGCCGCUCAUGACUGUGAGCACAGCUGAUAUAUCAGUUUUACACUCUCGAGAGGUUGCACAACUUUACCCACAAGUCGUGAGCUACGCUAGUUGUUCAUCACACUUCCUUAGGUGAGAUGGCUAGCAAGCGCACUACGAGACCGUUACAAAGGAUCACGUUGGUAAGGUGUAACCGCUAAGGAUUCUGGAUCAGCGACGAUGGGGCCCACCUCCGGGGGUACAAGACACACAGCACAGACCAAGCCGGAGGAGCAGGGACCAUUGAAGCUUACCACCCCUCUUGCCCACGCAGGUAAGUUACUCCCGAACCAAAAUGACCUAAUUAGUAAGUCAAGACCGUCCCAUACCAGUCUUGUGGUUGCGCGGUUGUCCCAGGUUGUCGCUCUAUGAACCGGUCCUUAUGGAGAGUGGCCAACCAAGCACUAAGCACCGUGCUGGCCCCCUAAACCAUGUUUCUAGCAAAACACCUUUUAAGGACGCACAAACCACUCAAGCACACAGCACAGAGGGUCGGCUCCAGAAUUAAGUUGCAUAAGACCAUUAAUCAAAUUAAUUAAAAAGGACCAAGAUUUGUUAUAGCGCAGCAACCUAGCACAACUAACCAAAAUGCAACCCAAAGGAUAUAUAUAAGGAUAUAAAAGUGGCUAGGAAAUCCUUAUAGGUGUACAGAAUUAAAAUGCAGUAUGAAGUUGUAUUUAAAAGUGAUAGGAGAUUCAUGUUAUACUUGCCUUCCUCGUACUCUCCCGGCUGCUGCUCGAAGUGCUCGGAAGACGGCUGCUCCUGAUACUGCUCCAAAGGCUCCGCGUCUACUCACGAUCGUCAAACAUAGUCCACACAUACACACAUGCACAAACAAUAGCAAAAUAUAAGAAAACAGUACAACAUUACAUGGAAACAGUACAUGAAACUAGCCUAGAACUAAUCUACGCGUUACAACGAUCGCGUGCAUAUAAAGAACACUUAAAACGGAGCUAAAACGCGAAAACUGCGCUUAAAACAGGAUCCAGGGACCUAAUUGUAAGAAAAACAGGACUUCCAGGGCCUUCUGCACAAAAAACCGAGGACUAAAACCUAAUUAAACCCUAGAUACAGGGGCUAGCGCGUGAAAAGGCAUGGCUUGGACGGCGGGUUCAAAUUCCAGGAAACUCAGGGGGUCAAACGGAAAGAAAAGGACCUAUCUGCAAUUAUUUUUGACUCACGGGUGGACGGCGGGUUGAUUCCCCAAAAAGGCAGGGACUCUUUAGCAAAAGAGGCGGCUGAAAUGGUAUGAUCUGUUCUGGGCCCUCGGAUCUGAUCUGUGCGGCUGGGAUUAGAUUCUUAAAGCGAAGGGGUACGCGAUGAUCUCAGCCUUUGGAUCGAGAUCGGACGGUCGGUAUUGGAUCUAGGUUUACUACUCGCGCUAUCCACCGGAUUUGAAUUGGACGGCCGAGAUUUAAAAUCCCGGCGAACCGGUACGCGCUGCUCGGGUCCCUCGGAUCUGAAUCGCACGGCUCAGAUCGAAGGGCUUCACGAUCUAAUCCUAUCCGUGAACGCCAGAUCGGACGGCCAGAGGGAACGGGGACUCCGGGGGCGGCGAUUUCUCGCCGGCGACCUCCCCCGUGGCGGUGCUUCACCGGAGUUUGCCAAUGUCGGGGCUCCGGGGGUUCUGGAUGGUCGGGAUCGUGCCGGGGAGAGAGGCUGGACCGCGGGGAAUUCGUCUAAGGGCUUGGGUCGGCUGAUUAGGGCUCGGGUAGGGGGUCUCCACGACGGGGGCGGCUCGGGCGGCGGUCACGCCGGCGGCGCUCGCGUUCCAGGUGUCACAGGUGGCUAAAGGCUGCCGCAGCUGGUGCAAAAGGACCAGAGCGCGAAGAGGGACUCACCGAGGGGGCUACGGUGCCCGGAGUGUGGCGGAGGAGGUGCAACGACGGCGACUGGCGGCAGCAGGAUGACGGCGCUCGCGGGGAACGGUACUGCAGGCGUGGCCAGGGCCCUUAGCUGAGGUAGAUCGGCUCCAGGUAGUCCUGUGGAGAUGGCAGGGGGGUCAAAGGGGCGUGAGGAUCGCCGGCGGCGAGCAAUUGCGGAGGCGGCCGAACUUACCCGCGGCGGAGGGGAAAGAGACCGGUGGCGCUAGGGUUCUGGGUGGCGGCUAGGGCUUUAGGGUUGGGCGGCCCUUUGUAGGUGGCGCGGCGGUCCCACUGGCUCUUGGGCCCGGGAAGAGAGAGUCACCGGCGAGAUCGGAGUUCGUUGGGCGCCGGGAAACAGAGGACGGGGAGGAGAAAAGGAGGUGGGAGACGACGCUGACGUGCGGGGCCCGGCUGACAGAGGGAGAGGGCGAGCGGGGAUGGGCGAGCGCGCUCGGGCUGAGGGAAACGCGGCGCCGACAUGCGGGCCCGAGCGAUCAGUCAGAGAGAGGAGGAAAGGGGCCGGCGCUGAGGGGAAUUGGGCCGGGACUCGGCCCACGCGGGAAGAAAAGGAAAGGGGAGAGAGAGAGCCCGCGGGUGAGGGAGAGGAGAGGGAAAAGGGGAAUUGGGCUGGGCCAAGGGUUUGGGGUUGGGCUGCGGGCUGCUUUCUUUCAUUCCUUUUUCUUUUCUAUACUCUACCCAUUCAAACAAAACCAUUUGAAUUCAAAUACCAUUUGAAUUCAAAUCUACACACUCAACACAAUUAAAACAAUGCUGUGGCAUGAAUGCACAAACACUUUAAUCCUAUGAUAAAUUUUAUUUUCUUGCGUUAUAAAAUAACUUUAAAUACGAGAUAAACUAGAGAAACCCUGGAAAAUCUAUUCGAGCCCAAAUAAAUUAAUUAAAAAUUUGAGGAAAUUACCUGAGGGUGUUACAGCGUGACACGCUCAAAAGCAUUUACUAGGCUCUCGGAGUGCCGAUGCAGUGCGUGAGCCACCAUGUAGUUCACCUCCUGGCGCAGAGCUCUGGUACGAUCCUCUGAAGGGGUGGAUAAGUCCACGUCAUCAAGAGCGCCUUCAGGUGAGAACCCCUUCCACCUAACACCGUGGUGACGGGUUCUUUCAAAAGAGCCGAUGAGAUCGGCUUUGAAGAGAGUCUUGAUCUCAUCAUAUUUCUGCUUAUGCUCAGCAGGCAGCUCCUCAUACAUGAUUGGAUCCUCCCCCGGCAUCCCGACAGCUGAAGUUGAUGUAGUCGACGAAGAUGGUCCCACUGGGCGUGCCAGAAUGUGUUGUCGGUCAAAACCCACCGGCGAGCAGCGCCAGGCAACACGAGGAGCCGGGAGGCUUCCGGGACUGCUGGUGGGCCCCGGUCCCUCGGUCAACGUCCUAGGAUCCGGCACACGACCUUGCGUCUAGGUUUGCUAGGCGUACCACCUGACCUAUACCUGAUCAGGAAGGUAUAGAUAUAGUUUUAUUUCUGCACACACAGACACAUGUAAAAAUUAGUCCGAGCCGUGAUCGGCUCAUCGGGUGACCCUGCUAUCGGCUGUAAAGAGCCGAUUGUCUCCCAGUAUCAAAUCGGAUCUAUAUAUAUGAACGAAGUGCAUAUAUCUGGUACUAAAAUGAACUUGCUCUAUAAACAAUAAGCUGAUUCAGUCCACGACGGUUAAAGCUUUCACGCAUAAUCGGAACAUCCUACAAAUGACUAAGCCUAGCAGAUACGAAAGAUAAUAGAAUAGCAACCUAAACAAGGGCCUAAAAACGAACUGAGAGACGAUUCCCGAAACAAUCCCUCUUUAGAUUGAUAAAAGGCAUCAAACAUACUGCCGGAACAUUCAACCCGUUUAAAGGGCCUAACCAUGCGGAUAUUAAGCUAAAUCUUUGAUGAUCAGAGACCAACCAUAACAGAUUGGAUCUACUAACUGAAAUAGAGCAAGGUUGUAAUGCCUGCAUUUUUAUCUUAUUUAAAUUGUGUUACCAAUCCCUCGCUUAAAAAUCUUUUAAACCUUUUCCGCCGCUUGAGCUCCCGAAGCCCACCUCCUGAUUUUCCCACCGUUCCGACAUCGCGCAGUCUCUUCCUCUUUUUCCGCAGAGCCGCUCGUCCCUUUUCCUUUUCCACUAGCCCCGCCGUCCUGUUACAUCACCAUCGUGUUCCGGUCGGCCGCGUGCGCCUGCCCGGCCGCGAUCGUCGGCGCCACGCGCAUGUCCUAUCUUUUCUUUUCUCAUAUUUUGUUCAAAUCCAUUUUAUUUCUCUCUUAAAACUUUUUUCCCAGACUCUUUUUUUUUGCGCUGGCUUCCUCUUUCUUUUUCUCCCCUGUGCUGCCUGCUGCCUGCUCAAGCUGUAGCCCGCUCCUUGCACGCACACGCGGGCCAGCGCAUGACCCGCCGCUGCCCCCAUUGCUGGCCGUGCACGUGCGCUCGUAUCACGCCGCCCGCGUCACGCCACGGCCGCCGCGGCCGCUGCCACUCACUGUGCCGCUGCGUGCCUGCUGCCCGUGCACGCCAGCCCGUCUCCAUCCCGUCCCCUCGCCCUCGCAGCUCGCGCUUUGUCCCCGAGCAUCUCGGCCUCCAUUAUUGGCAAGGCUCCUGUACUGCCCAUGACCCCCCCAUGCCGGCCAUCUCCCCUCUUCCUCUCGGCCUAUAAAUCAGAACCCAAACCGCCCCUCACUCCGCCCACACCACCCCAACACCUCUCCUCCUCUACCUCACACUGCAGCUCGCCGCCGCUACUCACCAUUGCCGCCCACCACCCAUCACCGUGGACAGCCAUCCGUAGACCGUCUCCGCACGAGGUGAGGGCCGGAAUCGGACCCCCUCGGCCUCCUCUCUAUUUUUCCCCCUCCCCGGGUGUUGCCAUGCGCCAGGGGGCCGGCGCCCAUGGCCUGGCCGCCCCCCUCCUACCAUUCCCCUCCCCCUCCUGUUCUGUCUCGAGGAAGAAGAAAGGCAGACUUGUGCAAAACCCCCUCCACUUUUCCUCCUUUUGCAGUCCGCAGCCCCCCAUUUCAUGCGACAUUAUGUUCUGAAUCGAUUCCAAACUCCACCACGCAUCAAAUAUUCUCUCCAAGUCUCAAGAUCCAAAUCCAACAAAUAUAAUAGUCUCCUCUACUUUUUAAUCGAAGCUCUCUAUUUCCCUUUUUUUAGCUCGUCGGCGAACUUUGUUUUUAUUGUGUGAUUGUUUGUGUAUUGUAGCCGACAGUGUGACUGAGGAGGAGCAGGACCGCGAGCCGGAGCCCGAAGACCCGUACCUUGAGGAGAAGCUUCCGGAAGGCUUUGAGGACGGCAAGUCCAAUCCCAUCCUUUGAUGCAUAUUUAUCCCAGUUUUAUAAACGCAACCUAUUGGCCUGUUUUAUAAAAUGCAUUAUUUUAUUGCAAGACAUGGUUGGAUAGCCACCCCUUGAUUACUAUGACUAUUCCUUGAUGACCUAAGUUAAUAUCUAUAUAGGAUUUGCUCUGUUGGACGUUAACUACUGCUAGAGAUGCUUGUUACCUUUUAUUCCCUUUAUUAUAUUUUAAUCAUGACCACAAAUCGAUUUAUCGAAAAUAAGGGUGUGAGUGUUUUAAAAGAUAAAACGGGAUUUCGGGAAAAUAAAAGAAAGAUAUAACCUGAUGAGAUGGACGGCAUUUUCUGUGUGAAAUACCACUGGUGAGCUUGUACCUUUGUGGUUGAGCAUGGUUGGGAGAUGUCCGUCUUGUCAAUGUAAGGAUGAACUGAGGUGUCAUCUUGCCUAACCCACUUAUCAUACAACCACUCGACCGUUGUGUGGGCAACGACUUAACAUAAACCCCACUAGUUGUUCUGCUAGCCAAAAAGGAGAGCAGGUGAGCAACGGGAGAUCAUGGAGAAGAAAUACGAUCUGUGUGAGUUAUGUACGGUUAUGACCUUAUUGAUAGGUCAUUAACCCCAUGGUUGCUUCCGUGUUGGCUAGUUAGAUUCAGCUAGGGUGGGUAAUGGCUUUGUUAGGAUCCGCAGCGACAUUAAGGUGUUCGUAGUGCGGUACCCUACUUGUGGGUAAAGUGUACAACCUCUGCAGAGUGUAAAAUCUAUUCGAAUAGCCGUGUCCACGGUAUUGGACGAGUUACGGCAUGGUCACUUCAAUAGACAUUUUGGGAUGGUUGGUUUUGUGGCGUGAGUUGUUUUGAAAGUGCCCGGCAGUUGUGCCGUAUGCUACUGUGGACGUGGAGUCCGGUAGCAUUAAAACAUGGAUCCUUUGUGUAUGAUCAACCCCACUUAUUAUUCGAUUACUACAGAAAUGUCUUGGGAAAACUCUUUUAUUAAAUGAACCCUUGCAUGUGUAAAAUCUCGCUUUUAUCGCAAAUGAACCCUAGCCUCAUCCUUGAUAUAUCCUGUGCAUGAUCUUUAUUAUUCCCCUCCGUGGGUGUGGUUGGACUUGUUGAGUACGUAUGUACUCACUCUUGCCUAGUUUUUACAGAGGAGGAUCCGAACUUUGUUCCUGAAGACGUCGAGUAGGUCGCCGUCCUGCACCCAAUCUUGCCUGUGGUUCAGGGUCUCCACUGGAAGCUUACCAUGGUGCAAGACUCUGAUGUUAUCUUAGAUUUCGUUGCCACUUUGGUUUGGUUUGUAGUCCUUAUGUUGUCCCUCUUGAUAGUGGUGCUUCAGUGCCCGCUACCUCGACGGUUUGUACGGUAAUGAACCAUCUGUUGUAAUAAAUGUGUUAUCAGUCUCCUGGGACUGAUAUUUGUAUCAUAUUUAGUCACCUCUGAUGAGGGGAUGCUUCAGGUGGUAUCAGAGCCGUAGGUUAGCCGUAGGACGCGACCCUUAGGACUGAGGACAUUUUCUAAGCCAUUUCCCACUAGAUCUUUCCCCACUUAACUCACCUUUCCACACGGCACUUACCUUUGGCUCUUGUCUGGUUCCAGAUGGCUGACAAUGGAUGGAGUGAUGGAAUCUGCCCCGCAGAGCCUGGCCUCCCGAAGUUAUUGCUACUAAGCCUAGAACGUGUCGGAGUUGUGGACAGACCGGAGUACACCUACCGGGAGUACAACUUCAGAGGCACCCUUCAGUGUGACCUGAUGAUCUUCGUGGGAAAAAGCACACUUUACCCUGACAUGGAUCCCUGGUUCAUCUCCACUACUAGCUUUGGGUUCCUAGAAACCUACCGAAAGGCUGCCCGAAAAGCCCUGCGAUGCCUAUGCGUGGUCUAUAAGCAUCAUCUUCAGCAAACUCCUAUGGGAUUUUUCCCACCUGCUGGAGGAAGAGGACACUCAUGGAUUGCCCGGAUAAGAGGAUUAGGAAGGGAAGAAGAAGAACUAGAAGAUACAGUUUCCCACCUGUCCAUUUACCUCACCGGCCUAGACCGACUUUACAGCAAACAGACAAAACAACUAAAGCACCAAAUCCGCAAGGCAGAAAAGGCAGAACAAGAGUUGGAAAUACAAUGGAGGAGAACAAUAGAAGCUGAGGCACAAGCCGAGAGUUCCCUAGCCUCUCUCCAAGACAUAUGGCGAAGCAACGCUCAAGGAAGGGAACGUAUCAGGGCACGCAGAAGAGAAGCGGGAUUACUGGAAGGAGAACCCGAAGAAACCCAUUGGGAUAAGGGCACUCAGACCGAAGAUGAGGUAUUGGAGCAAUGUCUUCCGCCAAAGAAGCGACCUAACCGGAUCGGGGAAGAAUCCCCUUGGGAGGAGUAGAGUACUUAAGCUAGAGCUAUCAUCCUAGUAAUAAUAUAUCCUUGGGAGAUGUACCCGAUCCUAAUGAAAAAUAAAGACCGUCUAUCCUUCUUGUACCCUACCAUAUGUGCAAGGCUUGUUCACUCUACCUUUGUUUUCAGAUGGCUGAGAAUGGUUGGACCCAGGGCGUUUGCCAAGAAGAGCUUGGUUUCCCCCGCCUUUUGAUCAACUCCCUGGAGCACCUCGUUGUUACUGAGCGCCCAAGGUACUACAGCAGAGAGUACAAACACCUCGGCACUCUUCGCUGUAGGGUGGUUCUUUCCAUUGCUAGAAGCACUCGCUACCCCGACAUCGAGCCGUGGCGAGUGACUGCUACAGGAUUUCAACAUCGGGAUGCCUAUCCCUUGGCCAUCAGAAAGGCUCUCCGCUACCUGUGCCGGAUCUUCGAGGAACACCUCAUUCCCACACCGAUGAGGCUUUUUCCUCCAGCCAUCAGGACGCAAGUCUGGCAGGCCCGCAUGAGGAACUUAGAACGGUGCCGCCAUCAAGAAGACCUUUUGUACCAUGUGGUUGCUUACCUCGUCUCCUUGGACAAGCUCUUCGAUGAGCAAGCCCGAUUCCUAAGGGAGCAAACCCACCAGGCCGAGCAAGAUGAGCUUGCAGUGAGGAUGCACCAAUUCCGAGUGGCUCAAGCUGAAGCAAGGACCACGGCUGCUAUAAGUAGCGAGGUCGUCGCUCAUAAAAACCUCAGGCAGAUCCAGGAUCGGCGCAUGCAAGAAUGGACCAGCAGUGGAACGGCCGUCUCGGCAAUCGGGGAGACCCAAGUCCUAAUUGGAACACCCAUCAUAGGAUGGGGAGGACUUUUUGGGACCCCGCAAGCUCCACCCGAAGGUGCCAAAAGGUCAGCUGCAGCCGCAGAAGAAGGAGCUGUCGAACAGCCUCGAGAAAAUGGGAUCCUCGAGGACGACGAGGAAGAGCUACUUAUUCCACUGGAAGUGCACUCCGCCCCGGAAGACGACUCGCCCCGCGAGUAGCAUGCCUCAGAGAUGCCCCCAGGGAUGAAGCCAUCCCGGCCCCAAGCUUAGAGUUUUGCCCCUCCCAUCUGUUGUGCCCUUUGUACCCGACCGUGUAGUGCGUGUUUUGGUUGUACCCUCCCAAGUGUUGUACCCCCAGCUUAAUAAAUAAAACUGUUUGUGCUUGAUGCUUGUUAGUCUGUGUGCUUGUUGGCAGUAGGUGGAUUCUGCCUUUUCGAAAAUACAAAAAUAAAACAUCACUUAAUUCCAAAUCUAAAUCUCAUAAAAGUUUUACCCAAUCCACAGAUGGCCCCCAGGCGUAACACCAGGACCUUCCAAAGUCAGGCACAUACCACUCCAAGUGCGCAGAGGCAACAGGGUGUGCAAGGACAAGCCCCCGGCCAUGAAGAUCAGGAAGUAAGCCAGCGGGGAGGAGAAAGCCAAGUAGGAGCACGUUAGGCCCCACCCCCACCGGCCAUUGACCUGGUGCAAGUGUUGAACAACCAGAACCUCCUACUGGAAGCUUUGACCAAUGUCAUCAGAAACCCAAGGCCCUGUGAGCAGAGUACAAAUGACAAACUGACAGCUUUUCUGAGGACCAAGCCACCCACCUUUGCAGGAUCCUACAACCCCUUGGAUGCAGAUGACUGGCUGCGUGUUAUCAAGAGAAAACUCGAACCAUUUGAGCAUGGAGACCGUGACAAGGUCCGUUUGGCUGCUCACCAGCUCACUGGAACUGCUUUGUCUUGGUGGGAGAACUACUGUGCAGCUGCUCAGGAUGCCUCCACUAUCACUUGGAAGGAAUUUGUGGAUGAGUUCCAUCGCUAUCACAUCCCAGCAGCCACCAUGAAGUGCAAGGCAGAUGAGUUCCGUGAGCUGCAACAAAGCAACAAGUCCGUUGAGGAGUACACAUAUCAAUUCAUAGAACUGGCUCGCUAUGCACUGGAGGAAGUAGACAAGGACGAAAAAAGCAAGAUAUGUUCAGAAAGGGUUUAAAUGCAGAACUUAAGAAGCUACUUUCCCCAUGCAUCUACCCAGACUUCAACACACUGAUGAACAUGGCUAUCAUCACCGAGACAGCCAUGGCAGAGGAAAAGAGAGACAAUAAGCGUAAGUUCCUGGAAAGCAAGGCUCGCCAGCAGGACCGUUUCCAGAAGCCGAGGCACUUCGGCCCUCCAGUGCCUAGGUCCCAAGCCCCUAUGCAGUACAGGACCCAGUCACAAGCUACUGGCUCUCAGGCCCCAACACUCAGUGUAGGCAAUUCAAGAGCCAGAACACCAUGAAGGCCCCACAGAACAAUGCAAGCCAAGUUACUGCCAGCAACAAUGCCCGAGCAUGCUUCAACUGCCGUGAGACAGGGCACUUCAUUGCCAACUGCCCAUAUACCAAUAACAAGCCGGCAGCAUCAGCCUUCUCCAACUCGAUGAAUGGACCAAGGCCAGCUCUAUCAGGAGCCAAUCGUGUACCCAUCCGCAGUAACAAUACUGGCAACAACAACCAGCAGAUGGGGCCGCCCCAGCAGUCCUUCGGACGAGCCCGCGUCAACCACAUCAACGCGCAUGAGGCUCAGGACGCUUAGUGCUCGGUGAGUUUCUAGUCAGCUCAGUUUUGGCAACAAUAUUAUUUGAUUCUGGAGCAUCACAUUCAUUCGUAUCCUCAAGUUUUGUGGAAAAGCACAAUAUACCUACAGUAUUACUAAAAACAUCCCUAUUAACCCGAACGCCUGGAGGUGACAUUAAGUGUCGACUGGGUUGUUCUCGGGUAAGGAUCAUUUUAAGUGGGGUAGAGUUCCUAGCAGACCUAGUUGUACUUAAGUCUAAAGGUAUAGAUGUGAUUCUUGGAAUGGAUUGGCUAAGCCUGCACAAUGGCCUUAUAAGUUGUGCUGACAAGGUGGUACACCUAUCCAACCCAGAAGGAGUACAAGUAACCUGCCAUACUCGGGGAAGUGGAUCGGACCCAAUGGUUUUUAGUAUGGAAGCUAAAUCCUUGGAAGAAGUUCCAGUAGUAAAUGAAUACCUAGAUGUUUUCCCUAAAGAACUCCCGGGAAUGCCGCCAGAUAGGGAUAUAGAGUUUGUCAUUGACCUUAUCCUUGGAACCUCCCCUAUAGCUAAGAGACCUUAUAGGAUGGCAGCCUCCGAAUUGGCAGAACUAAAGAAACAACUGGAAGAGUUACAACAAAGUGGUUUCAUUAGACCAAGCUCAUCACCAUGGGGAGCUCCGGUCUUGUUCGUCAAGAAGAAGGAUGGAAGCAUGAGGAUGUGCGUGGAUUACCGUGCACUAAAUGAAGUCACCAUCAAGAACAAAUACCCCCUUCCCAGAAUUGAUGACCUCUUUGAUCAGCUGAAGGGAGCCAAGUAUUUGUGGCAGAACCGCCUGAAUUAUUCCAGCUCAAGUGCGCUAAUGAUUGCUGUUCAUCUGCAAUCAGCUCCACGCACUUCAAACGGAACAAUCCCUUGGUCUGUCGGGUCUCCGCCCGAUACAACCACGGUUCAACAGGAUCGAGGCAGGUUUACCUCGCACGAAGGCGAGUUCACAUCACAGAAUAGCUCAUCAACUUUUAAUGUACAGCCAUACAUACAUUAUUAUAACCGAGUUCAAAGAAAAGUAAACUUAUACAAACCAUGUUCAAACUGACAAGCAUAACAGCUUGUUCAAAUUCACAGCGGAAGAAAAAGUUUUACGCGACUACACACGUCGCGAAAGCGGACACCAAGCUUAGCCCAGUGCCUGGUGUCACUCCGGAGGGUCACUGCCGGCCGGGAACGGGUCCCACUCCACGGACCAGCCAUAGGGAACGGACGUUGGCCACACAAGGUUGUCCGUGGGAUUCUCGAAGGUCAUACCUGAAACAGAUAUUGGCAAGGCUGAGUAUUCUAAUACUCAGCAAGGCUUACCCGGGAUUGGGUAUACUUUAGCCCGUAACUAGACUCAUGAAGGCAUUGUAAAGGCUCUGGGUUUAUUUUCAGCUGAAAAGCAACAGAGAGUAUAAACUACUUUCAAGUUUUAGCUUUCAGAUUCUAGCUUGAUUAGCUAUUCUAGGUAAGCACCUAUACUAAACAAGCAAGAUAGAGAUUAUCAUCCAUCAAGAUUAUUCCAUCAACAAUUACACUUUUUACUCGAUGUGGCAGAAGGAAUAAGCAGUCUCAAUCCUCGUGAGAGGCGGACGAUCCGAAUCGAAUUUAACCUUGCAAGGUAAACCUAACUCACACGCUCGGAAUACCAACAGGGCGUUCCAAGCAACUGUUUCCCUCAUAUUCCGGGUUAUGGAUCAGGGCCACCACAAGCGACUGCAGGACCAUACGCACAUCACUCGUGCAGGAUAUACGUCUGUAGCGCGACUACAAAACCCGUAUUCCUGUCUGCCAUGCAGAACGUACUCCCACACGUCGGUGCGUGUAAACAUAAAAUAAAAUCGAGUGGUGGAAGCGCGUCCAUUUGCCGGGCCAAUCGGGUACUAGGCUUACCGCUUACCAUAUUUCGCGGCAUGUGGCUAGUACUUUCAAAAGCUUAGCCACCACUACCACACAUUUCGACCUUAAAACUUUUAUCAAAAUAGACAGGGUAAACCACAGGUCAUGAUACGGCACAUGACCCUGUCCAUUAUCCUUAUAAUGAUUGCGGAAUCGUAAACAAGCAACUCCUAUAUCGCGCGAGUGACAGGAAAUCACCCGACUUUUACCGGUCCUAUUUAGCGAAGCAUCUAAGCGAUAAGGACUCAGGUUCAAUAUAUUGGAUUCCUAGGAUUCAUGCAUCUAGGGUUUCACUUCAAUUCCUAGACUUGAUGCAAGAUAUAAUAUAGAUAGACAUAUAUUACAGUGUAAAUAAAGUAGUGGGAUAUGUCCGGGGCUUGCCUUCUUGAGUGGGGUUAGGGGCAGGAGUGUCAGAGGCUUUCGAAUUCGGUUUUGGGGCUUCAGUUAGUCCCUCGACGACUUGCGUUGGGUCUUCUGGAAAGCCUUGGUCUUGUCCUAAGGCCAAUUCGUAGUCCCCGUCGUUGAGCGUCGUUGAUUCUAUAUGAAAUGCAAUAAAUUAAAUAAGGUGAAAUUUAAAUUUAAGAUUCCACAUUUCAAAUAUUAUAACUCAUCCAGUUAACACACUAGAAUUCAUAAAAUAAAGAGAGUUUAGGUUUGAAACACUAUUUAUAAAGGAAUUACAAAGAUAUUGUGGAGUUUGUUACAAACAAGGACUAAAACAUUUAAAUUUGAAUUGGAAGUAAACCAAAAUUUCAAUUCAAAACUUUAAAUAAAAGAUCAUAGGUUUUGGAGAUUUGAUUAUACAUUAAGCAUCAGAUAAUAUCACAUUAGAGAAUGACAACAGAUCUCAAUUAGCAAGGGUUAUACAACAGGUUUAGUUAAUAUUUCAAAUUUGAAAGUUCAAAUUAAAAGAAGUUAAGUUUAAAUCAAAUUUGGAUUUGAAGCUUUGCACAAAGUUACCUAGAGCUUAUAGAACAUUCAUGCCAAACUUUAUAAGCAACAAAGCAUGAAAUAUCAAGGUUAAGCAUAAACUACUCCUUAAUCUUAGGUUUAAAAUAGAGGUAAAAGUGUUCUGUUUUACACUAAACUUCCUUAACAGAAGCUAUAGAGUUUGAAAUCUAGUUUCUAACAAAACUAGUUGUCAUUUUUGAAAUUUUCUGUGAAUUGCUAUGAAUUUUACAAGACAGAACAUGUUCACACAUGAAAUAACAGCCACUCCUUUACAAACUAGUCCCUAGCUUUAAUAGGUAACCCCCUGGAAAGAACUCAGUCAUUGCAAUCAGGUCCAGGGGCCAUGGCCGGCGAUGGGGGGCUCGGGUCCGGCCAAAUUCGGCCGUAGGACUCGCCGGCGGUGAGGGGCAAGGGGAGGGAGAGCAUGAGGGAACCCUGAGCUACCUAUUGGUGGUCUUGGAGGGGCUCGAGGUGGCCGGAGACGAGCUGCCCACGGGAGGCCGAACCGGCGGCCGGAGGGGUGCGGCGGCGGUGGGGCUCCGGCGUCCGAGGGAGGAAAGGGUCGGGCUGGGGAGGUGCGGUGGGGGAUGGGGGAGCUGAUGGCGCUGCUAGUUUGGGAAGGGAGAGGGCGGAGGAGUGAGUUCCACGGUGACCCAAAGCUCGGCGGCGCUAAUGGAGGAGGCGGCGAGGUCCUGUACGCGCGCGAGGAGGUCCGGGGCGCCCUUUUAUAAGCAAUUGAGGUGGGGAAAAGGAGCACGGCGAGCAGGGCUUCAGUUUGCGGGUGCUACGGGGGGAGAAGAACCACAGAGGCUCGGCGGCGACAGAGGCGCCGGCGGGCGGCGCUGGCAACGCGCGGACGCCGUGGCGCGCGGGUAAGGCGCCAACAGGGGGGGGGGGGGGCUAGAGCGGUGGAAUGGCAUUGAGGCGACGCGUGGACGAGGGGAGGAACAGGAGGUGGGCGCCGGCGACCAAGGGCGGGUCACUGCGCCGGCGGCAGAGGCGCCAGGAGCAGAGCAGAGGAGGCAGGGGCGCCAGGAAGAAGAAGGGAUAAGAACUGAGCCGGGGACUGAUUUGCAAUAUCAGAGAAAAGCAGGGACUUCACUGUAAAGAACUUGCAACUUUUAAACCAGUGCUCAAAUGGAGAUGAUCCAAAAAGCAAAAGUGUAUGGUUUUUCAAACUCUACAACUUCUCUUUAAGGUUCAUCUGCAGUUGAGCAACAGUUUUGAAGAUAUUAUAAACUUAGUAAUACUUUCACUUUUUAUGUAAGUCCUAUGGAUAAAAUUACUUUUACAUGUAUACCCAAGGGUAAUUUCACAUAUUUUUGCAACUUAACCACAGAUACCAUCUUUUGCACAACAACCCUCAUACUUUUAAAUUUUUCCCUCUAUUUCCACCCAUUUUGCAUAAAAGGACCUCUAGUUAAAAUUAAUUACAUAAAUAUCACUUUUUCCAUAACAUUGCACAUAUUAACACACCUUUUGCCAUACUUUGAACAUAAAAGCAUACCAAAACUCUAGGGCGUGACCAAACUAAUUACCUGAGUGUCACAGCCUCCCCUCCUAAAAAGAAUCUCAUCCCGAGAUUCCGGAAUAGAAUGGAAUAGAUUGAUCAAUUUCGAGGGUUGGCUUGGAAGAAGUCAGGAAAGUUAUGCUGAAGAUAGGAUUCGGUUUCCCAUGUUGCUUCUUCUUCCGUAUGAUGGUCCCAUUGAAUCUUGUACAUUCUGACGGUCUUUCUUCUGGUGCUUCUUUCUUUAGUGUCUAGUAUCCUGAUCGGAUGUUCAAUAUAGGUCAGAUCUGGUUCGAUUUCGAUAGCUUGGGAUUCGAUGAUUUCGGUAGGGAUCUUAACACACUUUUUGAGUUGGGAUACAAGGAAGAUGUUAUGAACGGCCACUAAUUGAGGAGGAAGUUGAAGACGGUAAGCUACGGGUCCACAGACUUCAAGGACUUCAAAGGGCCCAAUGUAUCGAGGAGCAAGUUUCCCUUUUACACCGAACCUUUGAAUCCCUCGGAUAGGAGAGACUCAAAGAUAUACGAAGUCUCCAACUUGAAACCGUAAUGGGCUUCUCCGUAUAUCAGCGUAGCUUUUCUGUCGAGAUUGUGCCGUUUUGAGAUUUGCCUGUAUAAUUCUUAUUUUCCCUUCUACCUCACUGACAAGGUCGAGUCCAAAGACUUUACGCUCACCGGUUUGUGACCAAUUCAACGGAGUUCUACAACGGCGACCGUAUAAUGCUUCAAAUGGGGCCAUUCUAAUGCUUGUCUGAUAGCUGUUAUUAUAAGAAAAUUCUGCCAGUGAUAAGCAUUGGUCCCAAUUCUUGCCGUACUGGAGAACACAGGCUCUAAGCAUGUCUUCUAGAAUUUGAUUUACCCGUUCAGUUUGUCCAUCCGUUUGGGGAUGAUACGCAGAACUUCGGAUUAACUUAGUCCCAAGGGCAUUUUGGAGUUGUUCCCAAAACCUACAAACGAAUUGUGUUCCGCGAUCGGAGAUGAUCGUCUUGGGUAUACCAUGAAGGCGAACUAUUUGAUCCAAGUAAAUCUCAGCAUACUUCUUGGCAUUAGACGUAGUGUGUACAGGAAGGAAAUGUGCCGUUUUGGUUAAUCGAUCAACGAUUACCCAAAUAGAGUCAUGUCUCCGAGAAGUAUUAGGUAGUCCAACAAUAAAAUCCAUACUAAUAUCUUCCCAUUUCCAAGAGGGAAUAGUUAAGGGUUGGAGGGUACCGGCAGUCUUCAGAUGACUGGCUUUGACUCUUUGGCAGAUAUCACAUUCUGAGACAUACUUGGCAAUUUCUCGUCUCAUACGGGUCCACCAAAAGCUUUAUUUCAGAUCUUGAUACAUUUUUGUACUACCCGGAUGUAUAGAAAAUUUGGAUAGGUGGGCUUCAUCCAUGAUUCGCUUCCGGAGCUUAUGGUCCUUGGGUACCACAAGACGUUUGUUGAACCACAAAAUUCCCUCGGAAUCCACCUGGAAACAUUUGUACUUUUUCUCUCCCUGCAUUAGCUUCUGCUUAAUGAUUCCAACUCCCUCACUACGCUGCUGAGCUAGAACAAUGUCAUUCCUAAGCGUGGCUUCAACCAAGAGAUGGUUUAAGUCAUCUUGGGGAAUGAUUUCUAGAUUAAGCUUUCCCAUUUCCCAACAAAGAGUUUUGUUGAAAGCUUCAACAGAUAGGCAGGAACAAUGUGCCUUGCGACUGAGGGCAUCGGCAACAACAUUAGCCUUGCCAGGAUGAUAGUGUACCUCUAAGUCAUAAUCCUUGAUUAGUUCUAGCCAGCGUCUUUGCCUCAUAUUCAAAUCUGCUUGGGUAAAGAUAUAUUUGAGGCUUUUAUGAUCAGUGUAGAUAUGACAUUUUGUACUCAUUAAAUGAUGUCUCCAAAUUUUCAAGGCAUGGAUGACAGCUGCUAGUUUGAGGUCAUGGGUAGGAUAAUUUUGUUCAUGAACUCUGAGUGCCCGUGAUGCAUAUGCAAUUACUCGGUGAUUCUGCAUAAGGACACAACCAAGACCAGUUCCAGAUGCAUCGCAAUAGAUGUCAAAGGGUUGUGACACAUCGGGUUGAGCCAAGACUGGGGCAGUGGUAAGACGGUCUCUGAGAAUAUAGAAAGCAUCAUUACAUUUUUUAUCCCAAGAGAAUUUGACACCUUUCUUUAAUAACUCGGUCAUAGGUUUGGCUAUUCUGGAGAAAUCUGGAAUAAACCGAUGAUAGUAGCCUGCCAAACUAAGGAAACUACGGAUCUGAUGGACUGAGGUUGGGGGUUUCCAAUCCAUCACCUCCUGUACUUUACUGGGAUCGAUGGAUAUUCCGUCACUAGAAAUGGUAUGGCCCAGGAAUUUUACGGUAUCCAACCAAAAUUCACACUUGGAGAAUUUGGCGUAUAAGUGGUGGUCUCUUAAUCGUUGAAGGAUGACAUGGAGAUGCUUGGCAUGAUCUUCUAGAGUUUUAGAAUAGAUCAAAAUGUCAUCAAUAAAGACCACAACAAACUUGUCGAGUUCUUGCAUGAAGACAGAAUUCAUGAGGUACAUAAAAUAGGCUGGAGCAUUAGUGAGACCAAACGACAUGACAAGAUAUUCAUACAGACCAUACCGAGUGGAGAAAGCGGUUUUUGGAACAUCACUGGGCCGAAUCUUAAUUUGAUGAUAACCAGAACAAAGAUCAAUCUUAGAGAAUACCUUAGCUCCGGCUAGUUGAUCAAACAGAAUGUCAAUGCGGGGUAAGGGAUACUUAUUUUUGAUAGUCACCGCAUUGAGAGGAUGAUAAUCCACACAUAGCCUUAAGCUAUUAUCUUUCUUUUUCACAAACAAAGCUGGACAACCCCAUGGUGAUGCACUUGGACGAAUAAAACCUUUAUCCAAGAGGUCCUGGAGUUGAAUUUUCAAUUCAGCCAACUCAUUAGGAGGCAUGUGAUAGGACUUCUUGGAGAUAGGGGCUAUGCCAGGUUGGAGUUCUAUGAUGAACUCGAUAUCCCUGUCUGGAGGCAUUCCAGGUAAGUCAUCCGAAAAAACAUCUGGGUAUUCACAGAUGACUGGAAUAUCCUCUAGUUUGACCCCAGACGUAGCAUAGGUGUAAGAGUUGAAGGACUUUGGUGGUGGAAGAUAAAGAAUGGUAGGUUCAUUUUCCGGUGAACCUAUUUCCACGGUUCGGAAAGGGAUAUCUAUAGAUACAUGGUACUGGGUCAUCCAAUUCAUUCCUAAAAGAACAUCCAUCCCUUUUAGGCCUAGUAAUAGUAAAUCUGACUUUAUCAGGGUAUUGCCCAUUUGAAUUGGUACACCCCUACAGACGUGAUUUGAAGAGAUGCUACCACCAGGAGUUGUUAUCACAUAUAUCCCAUUAACAGGACAAAUUUCCAAGCCUAUCUUAGUCCCAAAUUUUGUAUUGAUAAAACUAUGGGUGGCACCAGUAUCAAAAAGAACAGUAACGGGAUAAUGGUUGAUAGAAAAUGUACCCGUCAUUAUCGGUGUCCCCUCAGGAAGUUCGGAGAGCGUAGUAAGAUUCACCCUCCCUUGACGGACCUGCACCACUUGUCUCCUACCCUUCCCCUGGUGGUUGGGAUUAGAUACCUGCCCUUGGAAAGAUUUCCUAGGUUGAGGGCAGUCCUUGAUGAAGUGGGACGGGCUUCCACAGUUGAAACAACGAUAAUUGCUGUUUCCAGGAGUAGUUGGUGGAAAGCUCGGCCGUGGACCUUGUCGUGGCGGCUGUCGAUUUUGCGGCAGCGGUGGUUGGUUGAAUUGUGCCUGUUGUGGAGGUCGAGCUACCCAUCUGCCAGGCAAAUUAUUUCAAGACGGAGCUCGAGGGGUGUUGCUCGGGACCAACCGAUACCUUGGUGGCUGUGAAGUUAUAGGCCCCGUGGGUGCUUUCCGUUUCUUUUCCGCUCUGUGGGCGGCAAUGCAAUCCUCUUGAGUAAUGGCCAUAUUGACCAACUCAUUGUAAUUGUCGGCCUUCACUAAAUUCAGCCAUUCCUUCAGUUUAGUGUUUAGGCCUCGGCGAAAACGAUCACAUUUGCGGGCAUCGGUGUCCGCAUGAGACCCUGCAUACUGGCACAGAUGAUUGAAAACCUGUGCAUACUGUGUAACAGUGCGGGUACCUUGGGUCAGACUCAAAAAUUCAUUGAGCUUCCGCUCAAUGAGUCCUGCUGGUAUAUGAUGUGCUCGGAAUGCAGUCCGAAAUUCAUCCCAGGUGACGACGUGAUCAGCGGGUUGCAUCGCAUAAAGCUGGUCCCACCAAAGACGGGCAAUGCCUCGGAGUUGCUGGGCUGCGAAGAGCACCUUGUUCUCCUCUGAACAUGGAGCUGGUAGUAAGGCGAACUUAGACUCAAUAGUUCGCAACCAGGCGUCUGCGUCCAAAGGCUCAUCGGCCUUAUGGAAUAAGGGAGGUUGGGUGCUGAGAAAGUCCUGAUAACUGGCCGACAAAGGUUCACCUUGGCCUCGAGGUUGCUGCUGGAAGUGGCCCAUUUGAGCUUGCACAAGUUGAUUUAGAAGCUCAGUUUGUCGGGCCAUAACCUCGGCCAAGUUUGGAGGUGGCGGUGGUGGUUGCUAAGAACUACCAGGCAGACCUGCCCGGAAUCCUUCCGGGGUUCCUCGAGUAGCUCCAACCAUCUGAAAUAAAGGAGACAUCCAUUAUCAACCAUAAUCUUACUCCAGUUUCAGAUAAUAUGCAAUUACCAAACGGAAAUGUAAUGCAUAUGCUCCAUUCAAUCCACUUAUACAGAUACACAGAUAUUGAACAAGAUAACCAAAGCAUAGGAUUUAGAUUAUUAUACAGAUACUGAUAUCCUUACAUCUCGUAUCAACACACUCAAACUAUUACAAACCUUUGCCUAAAAAUAUAUGCCACACAUACAACAAGUGGCUUUAUAUCUAGUUAAUCUACACACUACUUAUGUUACAUCUUAUACACUAGCUACAUCUAAACCAUCACCCAUUCAGCCCUGCUAAAAGUCAUCAAAAUUUCCUACUGAUGACUGACUUCCAGAAGAGGAAUGGUAGGGACUGACGACAGGAUCCCCAUGCUCAGAAUCAAGUUCGGAGACCCCUUCAAUCUCCUCGGGAUCUUCCUCUUCAGCCUCAGGUACUGCCGGUGCAACGGGAGGAAUCGGGGGCUGCUGCAAUUCCUCAAUCUGAGCUUGAGCAUCGUCAACCGCAAGGAUCAGAUCCUGGACUUGUGUCUGCAGAAAUUCAAUGACAAUAUCCCGCUGAGUGAUUAUAUGAUCACUCUCGUUGAUCUGAUCUUCCCGAUGGUGAAUAGUCUCGUUUUGAGUAGCAAUAAUCCCAUCCUUCUCAAUCACCACAGCUCGAAGUUGAUCCACCUGGGUAAUAUGUCUAGCAGCUUCCCCGUGGAGACUUCGCGCAGCAUUAAUCAGAUGGCCUAUCUCACGGCGUAGUAAUGAGUGAUAGUGGUAUUGCACGCCCGUGAAACGCCUCACCCCUUGCAGAACUUCUUUUGGUGAACCUUCCAGUCUAUGACUCUCAGGAAUUACCCUGAGGUCCCAUUCUGCUUCACCAGGAUCUGUUGUAGCAAACAAACCAAUAGGUUGUCCUAUAACUUCCUCGGGGUGUUGGCUGCAAAAGGCAUAGAUGGCUUCUAGGGCCGCUGCUUCGAUAGUAUCCACAAUUCGGUAGCCUAUCAUGCUGAUCUCAAUAGGCUGCCAUUGUGAACGAAAAGGAUGCUGAGGGAUAGUCAUCCUGACAUGAGCUCUAUGGAUUCCUUCUUCCAAAUGUUCGACAGCAACAUACUGAGGAGGUUCUGUAUAGUGGAAGGUCUGCAAAGACUCCCAAAGUAAACGGGGAAAACCCUCCCAAUGAAGAGCAUUAGUGUGGAGGUGCCCUUCCGGAUCCCAGAAAGCGUUAGAAGGUACUGCCAUCUACGACAAACAUGCAAAUGGUGAAACUUUUUAUCUUGUUAAGAGAGUACAAGAUAAACAGAACAAGAUAGUCAAUUCUGAUGACAGUAAGGACUGAGAAUUAGAUGAAAACCUAGAAUUCUAUAUAGGAUACCCAACCUAAUACUAUCAUUAGAACUCCAUUAGCCCAUUCCAAAGACAAACCACAUAUUCUUCAUACAUGAAAAUCUUUUUGUUAACAAAUUAUGCAUGCACGCACUACUCGUCCUCACAACCAAAGCAACUGCCGAAUAUGCUCGGACUUACAUAGUUAAUUCCGGUGGCAUAACCAUACGUCUCUCGCUAUGUAUAACUAUUCGAUAAACCCUACGCAUCCUAAUAGCGUAAUCGUGGUUAGUGUACCUGCAGAAAA